Molecule: long non-coding RNA, 60622 nt
Filed under: Physcomitrium patens
Lineage: Eukaryota; Viridiplantae; Streptophyta; Bryopsida; Funariales; Funariaceae
Description: long non-coding RNA (PPAT_LNC013510)
Source: RNAcentral
GCGACGGUAUCCUCGAGUUGGCCCCACAUGAAGUUGAGGAACAUGUCGAAGCCCUCGGCGACGGCAGCAUCGAUCUGGGCGUUGGCAGUGGCUUUGUUGAUGUAACGGUGAUGGAAUUCGUGUUGGGAGGUGAACAUGGCGGGGUCUGGAAAGCUGGGGUCAUUGAUGGCAAGGGCUUGGGUGGAGUCUGCGUAGGGAGCCUGGAGAACACAGAUCUUCAUGGCGAAUGGUUUGGUACUAAUUCCGCAGCUUGAUCAGAAAUCGCUGAGGAGGAAUACGCCCGUACGAAAGAAGCUGUGCUUGUUCUCGAAACCUGCAGAUGGCCAGGAAAGUCAACAGAAUGUCAUGCCUGCACAUGCAUAUUACAGUCACAUACAAGAGUAUAAAAACUCUCGAACGAACGAAAUUUGUUUUUCCAUGUAGCAGCAGUCUGGCUAGUACCGUGGGCAGAAGAAAACAUGAAAGGCACGAUGAUAACUAUUCACAUCGGAUGGGACGUGACCGUGAAAUCAGACCAGCGUUAGUAGCUCUUAUUACAAACACCUGAAAUUCAUGCACCGAGGAUUGAGUGUCCAGGACUAUGUGACCCCUGAAGCUGGUCUAUCACAACGUGAAUUGUAUCUUCGAAUUGCACCACCUUUGGAAAAUUAUGACCUAGACUCCCUGCACGAAGUAGACUCUGCGAGUAAACAAGAAUAAGACGCGGCUUCUGCAACAAGGAGGCCUUCAGACCUUACCGAAUAUGAAAUUGCGGCAUGCAGGAACGUCCGCCUCUAAAAGAGUAGAAUGGCUGCACGCAUGUCGAGAGGGAUGAGAACGUCAGGUUCCGGCUUAUUUAUCUCCCCCUCUCUCACAUGAACCUCGUGGGGACCUGGCACCAUUUCUUCGCGUCUUUCCAGGAUGGAUUGUCAGUGCCCUCUCAAGUACAAUUGCUGCAUUGACGUCAGGUUCAGUCGUACUUAUCUCCCCCUGUCUCACAUAGACCUCAUCAUUCCUUCACUUGGGCUGUUUUUAACAGAAGCAGCGAUCAUCGUGAAGUUGCUGUUUUCGAUAUUUUUCAGUUUGCUGAUUGAGUGGAGUGAUCUACAACGGAGAGAGAAAAGUAUCUUGAAGGGUAUAUAUUAUUAUAUUCUUAUAUCAUAUCAAGACAGAGUAGGUCAAGGUACUCUCUAUCACUAUCAAUAACAAAUGACCUUAUUCUCUAGAUAAAUCUAGUACAAGCGUUACAUCUCCUAUUCCACAAUAGUACAUAACACUGUCUUUUUGAAGGACUCAACUUGAAACUUUAAUUAAAAAUAAUAAGUUUGUGCAAAGUAAAAAAAAUCAGAAAUUAAAACAACAGUUCAAUAGAUUGGAAUACGUUGUAAAAACUAAAUUGUUAUUACUGGUGUAUCAAAAGAUAUAGAAGCCAUACAAUAAUAAUGAUUGAAAAAAUAAACUGAUGAAAAUGAAGAGGGAUUUAAUGCUGCCAUUGUAAAAUUUACUCGCAAUGUUAAAAGUUUUUGAUAUCUUUUCAUUCCACCUAUAAUGAUUCUUUAAUGAUUCUUGGACGUGAACAAUUUACAGAAGAUAAUUUAAAUAUAGAACAGAAAAUACAGAUAUUUUAGAAAUAAAUAAAUAAAAAACACAUUAACAUAAAAAAAUAAAAUGGAAUAAAAAUUUAAAGUCUCUCUCUCUUUCUCUAUAAAUAUAUAUGUAUAUAUAUAUAUAUAUAUAUAUAUAUAUAAGUAUGUAUAAAAUAUGUACUAUUUUAUUAAGAUACAAAUUUUUUAAAUAUUAAUACAUAUAAAUAUAUUUAUUUUUUAAUGAUAAUAUUAUUAUUAUUAAUUAUUUUUAUUGCUUCAUAAUAUUUAUUAAUCAAGAUAUAUGAAUUUCUAUCACGUUAAAUUUGAAAUACAAUGUUUAUGUUGAAAAUCAACAAGUACUUGCUUAAUUACAACUACAUAGAGAUUAAGCAUAUUAUUUUGCUAAUAGUCAAAACACAGCAAAGAAUUAAAGGAAGUUACUAUGGUAGCACCUAGGAUUUAGUUAGAUGAAGUAAAAAUGGAUAUAAUAUCAAAAGGAUGGAAGUGGCCUCGUUGCUUACCAAACCACCACCUAUAAGUAAAAGGUGUUGGAAGUAAGAAUUAUCUUACUCCACACUUUUGUUUGUAUGCAAACCUUGCUGAUACUAAGUGUUUGUAGCUUUUAGACUUCUUUUCUUCAAUAGGUUAUGGGCCCACUGACAUUUGCUUGAGUGUUUUGAAGUUCUUUGAAGUGGUUGUUGAUGUGUGGAGUAGAUCAAGUUGUUGUUGGUGAUGUUAGGAUUUAGAAGUACCUAACUUUUAGAUUCAGAUCUAGAUCUAGAUCUUAAUUUACUCUUACUUGUAGUUAAGAGCAUUUUAGUAUUGGUGUUUGGUUUUUCACCUUAAGGCAAAGUUAUACAAUACUUUUAUUGUGCUAUUGCUCAAAUAGAUCUUUGGUGGUGUAACUUUGUAGUUUCAUGUUCUAAAGAUGCUGAUUGUGCUUAAAAGGCCUCUUAUGGUGUAUAGAUAUAAUUUGUGAAUAUAAGAGUGAUAUUUGAGUGGCAAGUCAGAUUUGAGACAUUAAGAUAGGUCAUUAGACUUGUGAGAAGCCUUAGAAGUGAAGUUGAAAGUGUUUUUGAGAGUAAGAACACUAGUUUGUUUACAAAGAAGGAUUCUAUGAUUCUAAAGUAGCAAUAUUUUUUGCUGAUUUUGAGAGCAUUAGGACUUCUUCUUUUAAUUUUUUUUUGAUAAAUCUCUCGCUUCGAUAUGGCUUCAAGUGAAGGUAAAGGAUUGAGAGUUAUUGAGAAGUUUAGAGGUGAGAAUUUUUACCAUUGGAAGGUAAAAAUGGAGCUUUUGUUGGCGUCUUUAGAUCUUUAAGAUAUUGUAGAUCAAAGUGAAGAGGCUCUAAGCAUAGAUGCUUAUAUGAAAGAGAAGAAGAAAUUCAAAUGUCAUGAAAAGAAGGUUUUUGGAUUGAUUGCAACCAAUGUGGAUGAAGCUAACUUCUCUCACAUUAUUUCUUGCAAAGAAUUAGCGGAAGCAUGAAAGAUUCUUUGCAACAUCUAUGAGAGCAAGAACUUAUCUAACAUCAUCUAUACAAUGAAGAAGUUCUUCACUUGCAAGAUGGAAGAAAGUGAAGACCUCAUGGCUCAUGUCAAUAAGGUAAAGGUUCUUACAAACAAACUACCAAUUGUUGAUAAGCCUUUAGAAGAAAGUGAUAUUGUCAUGACCUUGUUGAUGACUCUUCCUGAAUCCUACAACUACCUUAUAAUGGCAUUGGAAUUCAUUAAGCUAAAAGAGCUUAUAAUGGAAUAUGUCAUAAUAAGACUUUCUCAUAAAGUAACCAAGAAGAAAGAAAAUGAGCCUCAAAGUAAAGAUUCAAUACUCUAGUCACGUCAAGGCAAGGACAACUAUUCAAAUCAACAAGGUAAUGUCAAAUCUUGCUUCAUUUGUCGCAAAGUAGGCCAUUUUGCUAGAAAUUGCUACAAAGAUAAGAAGAUAGAGAAAGAGAAUGCAAAUAGUAUGCAAGAUGAGUUUGGAGGACAAGAUUAUAUAUUCAAGGCAACAAAUGGGACCUCUAUGGAUGCCAUGUCAAGAUGGAUUGUGGAUUCAGGUUGUUUUAAGUAUAUGACAUCUUAUAAGUAUUCAGUUGACAUUUAUGAUGCUAUUUCAGCAUUAAAGGUGGUGUUGACAGAUAGUGGUACAUGUGAAGGCAUUGGAAUUGCCUCUAUUAUGAUAGAAGUGGUUGUGAAUAGAAAAACCAAUAGGAUCAGAUUCAAAAACGUCUUUCAUGUGCCUAAGAUGAAGCAAAACCUACUUUUGAUGAGUAAACUUGUAAUAGAAGGUUUUAAAGUUCAAUUCGACAUGAAUGGAUGUUUUGUAAAAAUAUUGAGUUGAAUUAAGGUCUUCAAAGGCUUUAAAGAGGGAAAUUUGUACUAUCUCAUUUAUAAGAAGGUGAAUGGAGUGGAGGUAGCUCCAUUUGUAGAGUUUACAUCAAACCAAGACAAGUUGAAAAUAUGGCAUCAUCGCCUUGGCUAUUUGAAUGUGAAGAGCAUGAGAGAGCUCAAGUCUAUGGUAAGUGGCUUAAAUCUUUGCAAUACGAGCCAAAAUAUAAAAGAACUUGUACGUAAAAAAUGCAUACAAGGCAAACAACAAAAGACCUCAUUUCCAAGUAACUUAGCAACAUAUGCUACCACGUUGCUAGAGAUUGUCCAUUCUGAUAUAUGUGGACUUAUGAAGAACACAAAUAAUGGAAGAUCAAAGUAUUUUUUGACUUUUGUUAAUGAUUAUUCAAGAAAGAUUUGAAUUUACAUUCUUAAAUCCAACAGUGAAUGCUUUUAGAGGUUUAAGGAGUUUAAAGCACUUAUUGAAAAAUAAAAUAAAUGUAAGAUCAAGAUGCUACGUACGGACAAUGGAAGUGAGUACAUGUCUAAGUAAUUUGAUAUUUAUUUGAAGAAUGAAAGAAUUUCUAGACAAACUACAACUCCGUACACUUCACAAUAAAAUAGUGUUGCUGAAAGGGCAAAUCAAACUAUUGUAGAGAUGGCAAGGAGCAUGCUUCAUGCUCAACACCUUGGUUAUGAGUUUUGGAUGGAAAUUGUGGUGAAUGCAGUGUAUACAAGAAAUUACUGUCCAACAAGUGCUCUUGUAUCAAUGACACCACAAGAAACUUGGAGUAGAAGACAACCUUGCAUUUUCCAUAUGAGGACCUUUGGUUGCAUUGCAUAUGCAAAAAUACCAAAUUAUAUGAAGUCCAAACUUGAUGCAAAAGGUACAAAGUAUGUGUUUCUUGGUUGUUGUGAAGGUACUAAGGCAUAUAGGCUAAUAUACUUAAAAAACAAGAAGGUCAUCAAAAGUCAUGAUGUUGAUUUUUUGGAGCACAAGAGUGCUUGUAAACACUUGGAGAUGUAUUCAAGUGAGAGUAAUGGUAUGUUUGUGGACACAUCUUUGAAUUCAGCAAAGAAAUAAGAAGAUGAAGACAAUAAAAUUGAUGACGAUGAAAAGACAAAGAAGGUUGAAAAGAUGAAGGCUCCUAUAAUUGCUAGAAAUAGUAAUAAAAGAAAUGAAGAUGUUGAAGAUUAUGAUGAUGAUGAUGAUGAUGAGUACCAACAUUAAGUGAGAAAUGACAAGGUUUAAGAGAGGAGGUUGAAAAAGAACAUAAAAAGCAGCAACGUAAAUCUUCUUCUAUAAAUGAAAGAAAAUAUCUUUUAAGAGAAAAAAGACAAUGUGGUGAAUGGUGGAAGGAUCACAUCUUUCCUCAAGUAGGUGAAGAACAUGCAAAUAUUGUUCUUCUUGUUGAUCAGUUAUCUUUGUAAGAUGCAUUAAAGUCCCAAGAAACAAUUAAGUGAGAGAAGGCUAUGGAAGAAGAGUAUCAAUCUAUUAUGGACAAUGAUACAUGGAAAUUGACACCCCUUUUAGCAAAUCGAUCUAGUAUUGGUUGUAAGUAGGUGUUUAGAACUAAAAAAGAUGCAAAAUGUUCCAUAUAAGGUAACAAUAGGCUCAAUCAUGUAUGCAAUGGUAGCCACAAGAGUAGACCUUGCAUAUGCAGUGAAUGUUGCAAGCCAAUACAUGUCUAAGGCUAGACCAUUGCAUUUGACAACGAUAAAGAAGCUAUUAAGGUACUUAAAAGGUACAAAAGACUUCAAAUUAUGCCUUGGUGGUAAGAACAUUGAUUUGUUAGGUUACUAUGAUGUGAAUUGGACUGUAGAUGCAAAUGAUAGAAGAUCCACAAUAAGAUUUGUCUUCUUCAUUGGAAUAGGAGCUAUUUCAUGGAAUUGCAAGAGACAACCUUCCAUUGCAAGAUCAACAUUGAAGGUAGAGUACAUGGCAGCAAGUCAUUGUGCAAUGGAGGUGUGUUAGAUAAAGCAACUCUUAGAAGACAUUAGACUAGGGCAAUUAGAAGCAACUCUCAUUAUCUAUGACAAUUAAGGAUGUCUUGCAUUUGCCAAGAAUCCAAAAUAAUAUUCAAGGCCCAAGCACAUUGAUGUUCAACAUCGUUUCAUACGAGAGAGGAUUGAAGAUGGAAUAAUAGGUAUGAAGUAUUGUACUACAAAUGACAUGCUUGUUGAUGUGCUUACAAAGGCAUUAAAGGAUAGAUAUCAUGAGUUGAUACAGAGAUUAGGAUUGAAAGCCUUUUGAAUGUUAACAAAGUGGGAGUGUUGAAGAUUAGCAAGUACUUGCUUAGUUACAACCACAUAGAGAUUAAGCAUAAUAUGUUGCUAAUAGUCAAAAGGUAGCAAAGAGUUAAAGGAAGUUACUAUGGUAGCACCUAGGGUUUGGUUGGAUGAAGUAAAAAUGGAUGUAAUAUCAAAAAGAUGGAAGUUGCCUCAUUGGUUAGCAAACCACCACCUAUAAGUAAAAGGUGUUGGAAGUAAGAAUUAUCUUACUCCAUACUUUUGUUUAUGUGCAAACCUUACUUAUGCUAAGUGUUUGUAGCUUUUAGACUUCUUUUCUUCAAUAGUUUAAAAUAUUUUUUUUUAAUCUAAAUGAUGUUUAGCAACAUUCUUUUUCCCACAAAGUAAAAAUACACUCCAUUAGAACAACCUCUUCAAAAACAUUCUUUACAAAGCUAUUUCUGUCUUAGUAAUAUUUACUAAAGAAUGUCAAAAUCAAGUACAAAGUUAGUAUUGAUAAUAAUUUAUCAUAUUUUUAAAUGUUGUUUAUUACAAUUUGUGCAAUUCAAAUUGAACAACAAAUUACAAGAUGCUUAGACACAAAAAAUUGAACAAGAAAACAAAUAAUAAACAAACAUACACAAGAUUGUACAUCUGAAAAUGUGAACUCACCACAUAUCAGAUAAAAAUAAACCUAAUUAUAACAAAGCAAGUUGAACAAAUGUUUAGAAUAACACAUAACAUAAAUGCAAUAAGAAAAGAAUGAAAACUCACAUCUCAAUAGGAACUAGAGAUGGCAUCGAUAUGGAUAAUAGUCUGAACUCUGGCUAGGAAAUUUCAACUGCACUUGAUGCUCGCUGGUGUCCAAAGAAAAAGUAUGGACGUUAACACGCAUGUACAAAAAGAAAGUAAGAAAUUGCAAAAAGUGAAAUAGGAUAAAAAGUUAACAGACAAAGCCAGUCGUGGAAAGAUAAGUGAAUGCGAGGAUAUUGUAGAGCCCUGCGAAGCGAAAGACAGGUUCGUGAGAUAAAUGUUUUGUGGCUCUUUGAGAACCACGCUUCGACAUCUUCGAACUGCGCUGCGUCUUUUGCCCACAAACCCAAAUGUGCGAACCCGUCCAGGAUCUACAGCGAAAAAGAACAAACACGAAAUACUGGAACACUGGGUCAAAAGCACGACCGAAUCCUGCCACAUUUCCACUCCUCGAUGUUUUACCUUGCAUUGCUUCAUGCACCCAUGUGCACUGAUACUUCAAGUUGCCUUUCACUACUGCCUGCUGGUUUACAGGCAAAAUUUUCUAAUCUCCCUCCUUCACAUUAUCGUGUGAAGCUGAGUUGGUGUAACGAAAGCCUUGUAGAGGAAAGCGUUUGGUGUGAACGGGUACUGUGCAAACCUGUUCUUCGUCUGUUUUGAAUCAGAAACGGCACACGUUUGGUCAUUGUACUAGAAAAUUGUUCUUAGAUUUUCUGACUGCAAACAGUACGAUCAUUUUCAACAUACUACGUUAAGCGUUCCAGUGAAAUGCAUACAUCCUUCUGCGGGUGCAAUCGCUACAUGCUGCAUUGUGUGGUUGUUGGUGUUAGCAACAUUCAUCUUGGUGACGCUGUCUACUGGUCACAAAUCCCAGCCGACUCGUUCUGUCUCUCACACAGAAUAUGCAAAGAAGAACACCGCGACAAUUUCCACAAUUCCUGAUUUGGAUCAGAGAAUAUUGCCACAAGAAGCUUGUGUUUUGAAGACAGACGCUUACAUUGUGCGGUUACGAGGUCUAGAUCUUGCUAACUGCGUCCAGUACUUUGAGGCUGGUCGCUGGUCAACGAUUAAAGGGCAAUGUUAACAGAGAGAUCAUUGAGGCUGGGAAACGCUCCAUUGCAGUGAAAUUAGUAUUAGUGAAAGUAACAAUUGUAUUUUAGUAUUAGCCAAGGCCUAAUUAACCCUAUCCCCACCCAGCUAUGUAAUGGUUACUCCCUAUUUGAAUUAUUUCCAUUUAAGUCAGAAAAAACAAUAAAAAAAUAAUAAUAAUAUAAAAGACGAACAAAAAGAAGCUAAUUGGCUAGCUAAAUUCGCUAUGCUAGGUCUCCUACUCGAAAAUCCAAUCAUCCUAACAAAGCGUCUCAAUGUCCACCCAGCAGCCAUGCAAUUCUCCAUAAGAUGGAGUUAAAGAGGCGGGAGUGCCUCGAAUCGGAACAGUACCGUAUCGACGUUGUGGCCAGUGUUCGGCGAGGUCCAUCCGAACUUACGUACUCGCCGACCCACUCUCCACCCUCGCGGAACUCCGAAUCCUUCCACCAGCUGUAAGUGGUUCCUGACCCGCAUGUAAGGCAAUCCGGCUUUGACCAGAAACUCAUUGUACGAGUCCGGAAUCUCGUCCACGGAGAUGGUCACCGACUUUUGCGCCAGUUGGAACAUUCUCACUAGCACUGCACACAUUUCCACCUCGUCAAGGUACUGGAGGGUCGAGACACACACGACGUGGUCGAACGAUGUGGUGGUGUCCAUUAUCACGUCCUGAAGGGGACCAAUCUUCACUUCCUUGUAUGUCUCCGGGAUUGGAUUCUUCUGAACCAUUUGCUCGGAUACGUCAUUGCCCACGAUCGUGCUCAGUUCUGAGCCGUCUUUGCGUUUCCUUUGAUGCUCGUGGAGCAAGCGACCGAACUUUCCCGUGCCGCUGCCCAAUUCAAACACCGUGCCGGAAUAAUCGUAGUCGGCGAUUAGAAAUUCGUAGUUCGAGGCCAUCGUUCCCAAAUAACUUUCGUAGCUCGCCGAGAAGGCGUCGAAUUCCUUGGCCACAGGGGCAACCUUGAUCUUGUGCUUUCCCAGCUGCUGCAGUCUGCUGUUGACAAUCACGUUCACAAGCGCGCGAUGACCGCCGGGAAACGUCUCGCGGAUCACGAUGUCCUCCCACUCGUGCUCCCAGCGGUAGAACACCGCCGGCCCCGGGUUGACCUCCAGGAUGAAGGGCUUACCGUCUGACGCUCGAACCCUAAUAUCCACAUUGCCCCAGCUGUUUCCUGCCAUUUGGUUGACGUGCCAGGCUCUCUCCGCCAGAUUGCGCAACAUGUCGAAGAGCGCUGGGUCUUUGCAACGCACCAGGAGCUCCUCACGCAUCUCCGGGUGGCAUUUGAUGUCGAAAGUCAUGAAAUCAGCGCCGGCGUUGAUUGCGGGGCAUCGGUAGGUAGUCGGGUUUAGCGCCACGGGCGUGUUGCCCAUCUCGAUGAGAAUGACGGAGUAAUCGCGCCCAGGUAUGUACUCUUGGACGACAAUGUCGAUAUCACUCCCGUCGAAAUGAGCAACUCCGUUGCCAUAAGCACUACCGUUAACGUGAUCACUUCCAUCGACAUGGGCGAUUCUAUUGCCGUUGACGCUCCCGUUAUCGUGAUCACUUCCGUUGACAUGGGCACUCCCGUUUCCAUCAGCGCUCCUAUUGCAAUGAUUGGCGAUGGUUGCGGCGGCUUCCUUUCGACCGGGAGCAAGAUACUCAUUGAUGCGGGCCAGCUGCUGAUCAAGUUCGCUUUGGUUCUUGCACACGGACCUUUCGUCGAUAAACAUUGACGCGCACAUCUUCGCCGGUUUCACAAACACCGGGAACUUCAUGUCAGCACCCCUUGCCGGCACUGGCAAUCCAGAUUUCUUGGCCGCGUUGUAGAAGUCGAGCUUCGAUCGUCUCAAGACCUUGCUCUGAUAACCCACAAUUGGAACUCCCAAAGACUCCAAGUAUUCAGUAGCCUCUAUACCCGCGACGGUAUCCUCGAGUUGGCCCCACAUGAAGUUGAGGAACAUGUCGAAGCCCUCGGCGACGGCAGCAUCGAUCUGGGCGUUGGCAGUGGCUUUGUUGAUGUAACGGUGAUGGAAUUCGUGUUGGGAGGUGAACAUGGCGGGGUCUGGAAAGCUGGGGUCAUUGAUGGCAAGGGCUUGGGUGGAGUCUGCGUAGGGAGCCUGGAGAACACAGAUCUUCAUGGUGAAUGGUUUGGUACUAAUUCCGCAGCUUGAUCAGAAAUCGCUGAGGAGGAAUACGCCCGUACGAAAGAAGCUGUGCUUGUUCUCGAAACCGGCAGAUGGCCAGGAAAGUCAACAGAAUGUCAUGCCUGCACAUGCAUAUUACAGUCACAUACAAGAGUAUAAAAACUCUCGAACGAACGAAAUUUGUUUUUCCAUGUAGCAGCAGUCUGGCUAGUACCGUGGGCAGAAGAAAACAUGAAAAGCACGAUGAUAACUAUUCACAUGUGAUGGGAUUUGGCCAUGGAACUAGACCAGCGUCAGAAGCUCUUACCUCAAACACCUGAAGUUAGUGCACCAAGAAUAAAGUGUACAGAAUGUCCAGGUCUGUCUUAUUUAUCUCUCCCUUACUCACGUGAACCUUGUGGAGGCCAGUCACAAGGUUUCUCUGAAUGGCUUUUUGGAAGGCACUGAGACCCUAACCUGGAAAGGUGCGCCAAGUUGUCAUAGUCCCCCCCGAAAGGGCUGUUUUUAACAGAAGCAGCGAUCAUCGUAAAGUUGCUAUUUUCGAUAUUUUCCAGUUGGCUGAUUGAGUGGAGUGAUCUACAACGGAGAGAGAAACGGAUCUGGGUUAAAACUUCGGAUCUAUUGCGACACUUUUCCAAACGGAGAAGAUUGUCCAUUCAGGAAAGUCUCGUAAAAGUACAUAUUGAUGGGGUGAAUUAGGGAAUGAUAACUUCUGCACCAAUCAUUAUUGAACUAGGUUGAACUCUUUAUCAAUUUCUUUCAACAAAAACGGACAAAUCUUGAAGGGUAUAUAUUAUUAUAUUCUUAUAUCUUAUCAAGACAGAGUAGAUCAAGUUACUCUCUAUCACUAUCAAUAACAAAUGACCUUAUUCUCUAGAUAAAUCUAGUACAAGUGUUACGUCUCCUAUUCCAUAAUAGUACAUAAUAUUGUCAUAUAGGAAGGACUUAACUUGAAACUUUAAUUUAAAAUAAUAAGUUUGUGCAAAGUAAAAAAAUCAGAAAUUAGAAACAAAAGUUGAAUAGAUUGGAAUAUGUUGUAAGAACUAAAUUUUUAUUAAUGAUGUAUCAAAAGAUUUAGAAGCAAUAAAAUAAGAAUGAUUGAAAAAAUGAAUUGAUGAAAAUGAAGAUGAAUUUAUUGCUGCCCUUGUAAAAUAAAAAUAGAAUAAAGAUCCACAAUAUCUUGAAAUAUAUAAAUAUAUUUAUGUACAUAUACAUACAUAAGUCUUAUAAAAUAUGUAUUAAUUUAUUAGAAUAAAAAAUGAUUGAAAUAUUAAUAUAUAUAUAUAUAUAUAUAUAUAUAUGAUAAUUUUAUUAACGUUAAUUAUUUUUAUUGGUUCAUAAUGUUUAUUACUCAAGAUUUAUUAUUUUUUUUUCAAGUAAUUUUUUAUAUAUUUUUUUUAAUCUAAAUGUUGUUUAGUAACAUUUUUUUUUCAACCAAGGACAAACACAUUUUCAUAGAUAAAUAUAUUUAAUUUAAUAUUUUUAUUUUUGAUUAAAUUGAAGUAGAUAAAAGUAGAUUUAUUUCAUAUACCUUUUAGGCAAGCUUCUUAGAAGCUUUAUAAACAUUGCUUUAACUUUACAUGUAUUUGUAAUUGAUUGAUAGGUUAGAAACUUGGUCAUUAAAUUAACCAUGUGUUGAUAGCUUAGAAAACAAGCUAAUUUAUGUUGCUAAAUUCAAACCUUGCUUGUAAUAAGGACUAGAAUGACAAAGCUCUUAUCAAUCAAUUUUGAUAUUCAUGAAGGAUAAUGUCAACGAUUUGCUAUUGACAAUGUCUAAGGCAAAAUCUUUGAAAUAAUUAACCACUUUAGCUAUUAUAUAUGACAAUCGAUUAUUUGAAAGAUGUCAAGAAUAAAGAUUUUGUUAGAAAAGAACAAGUUAAAUAAUGACUACACUUCUAAAGUUUUCAAAAACUUAUUUAUCAAGGCUAAGCCAAUGCAAAUCGAUAUAAUACGUUUUAAAUCUCCUAUAGAAUUGAAAAAGACUUAACAAUAUGAUAAAGACUUAUAUUAUGGAGAAGCUAAAUACACUACUUAAUAGUGUCUAAAGAAACAACUCAACUACGAAAUGAAAAGCAUGGUUGCUAAAAAAGACAAUGUGUCGAGAAACAAGUUUUUUCAGCUACAAUAAAAACCGUGUGACUAGAAUCUUGCUUAACUUCUAAUAAAGGUCAUAUUCUCUCCUCAAUCUCCUCACCUUGUUUUACAAUAAAAGUUUAUUUAGGAUAAAAAAAUCACAAAAUCAUAGCUUUGUUAGAUUUAAGAGCCUUAACUUAUUUUAUAUACAAAAAUUUUGUCAAAAAAUAAGAAAUAUUAUUAGUCAAGAAAAUUAAAUCCGUAUAUGUAGAGGUCACAAAUGGUCAUUUUUUUAUCUUUUAGAGAUGUUACACAUGAGACAAUUCCUUUACAUGUAGUAAUUAAAGAUUAUAAAAGUAUAAUAAUAUUAAAUAUAAUAAUAUUUUUCUUUAAUUUGGUUAUUUUAGUAUUAUCUUAAUUAAAAAAGUAUAAUCCUCAAAUAGAUUAUAUUUUUCAUAACUUUAUUUUUUUGGAUAAUUUAAUCUAAAAUUCCAUUAGUCAAAUAAAAAUACAUAAGUAUAAUACACUCAAAUCUAUCACGGAUGUACAAAUUUACCCUGAUAAUUAUUUAGAUAAUAAAAAUAAGUCAAUGUAAGUAAAAGUAGAUAAAUAGGAUAAUUUCUUGUGGAAAGCUUCCUAGAAGCUUCAUAGACACUGCUUUGUAUUUAUAUAUGUCUAUCAGUAAUUGAUAGGUUGAAACUUGGUGAAUAAUGAUGCGACAUGUCGACAUUUUGACUACUUGUAUAUUUUGACUACUUGUAUAUAGUACAAGUUGGAUAUAUGGGGCACACCUAAGAAACUUGUCUUAUAAAUUAGACAUGUAUCUUGCAAGUUGGACACAUAUUAGAGGUCCUAUAGUAUGUUGUCACGUAGUUCUUACUUAAGUAGUAUAUAUAGAGGCAAGAGUAAGGCCUUCUUUACUCUUGUCGGCUCUUUUCUUAUUUUUAGUCUAGUUUCAAGAGUCUUAUGUUUUCUAGUCUUUGACAAUAGCCAUUCUAGUUCUUCCUUGAAUAUACAUACUUUCUUCUAUUUUGUCAUUUUUCUUUUGACACAAAUUCCACGAGUUUAUGCAUCUUUUUCUAGUUUGUGUCCUUGACAGAUUGAUAAGAGUAUACAUACAAUAUCAAAGCUUUGUCCUUUCUUGAUUAAGAGUGGUUUACUGCUUUGUCUUAAUAAGACAUAAGCAUAUUAGAAGUUACGGAUUACCUUCUUUUAAAUUGAUAUUACUUCUAAAAAUUCCUUUUCUUAAUUCUUAAAUAUUGUAUUCUGUGAAAAUAGACACCUUUCUUUGUAUUAUGCUAGUAUGGCAAAGCUUACUGAAAUGAAGAGUAUAAUGGCUCAAAUGCAAGAGCAAAUGAGAGAGUUAAUGCUUGCAAUAUAUUAACUCAAUCUACCACCACAAGGAGCAACAAGAUUAUCAAAGAAUGAAGAUAUAGAAAUGAUUGGAGUUGCAUCAACAUCUACACCAAGCCAUACUACUAUUCCUACAAUGGAACAUCGUUCAAGUUUCAAGAAACCAAAAAUUGUAUUGCUUGAGAAGUUUGAUCAUACAAGAUCUAAGUUUCAAAGAUUUAUCAAUCAAGUACAACUGGUGAUUUAACUACAACUUCAAAGUUAUUCAAUUCAAGGAUCACAAGUCAGGUUUAUUAAUAGACUACUUUUAGGUUUUACUUUAUCAUGGUUUUUAUCAUUUCUUAAAUGACAUGAUCAAAUAUUGGAUAAUUUGAAAGCAUUCUUGGCAAAGUUUUGAUCUUUGUAUGGAAAAUAUGAUGCAAUCCAUGUUACAACCAACAAGAUUUAUAUCUUGCAAUAAGACAAUUCAUUAGUGAUAUUGUAUGCAUCACAAUUUUAACAAUUGGCAACAAAUAUCUAGUGGGAUGAUGUAACACUCAUCAGCCAAUUUUUCUAUGCAUUACAAGAUGAAGUAAAUAAAUUGAUGUUUAAUUUACUUGAUCCUCAAACAUUGAGUAAGUAAUUGACUUUGCUGUGAAAUGUGAUAAUCAACUUCUUGAGUUUUGAUGUAAAAAUUACACAAAGGAACUUCAACGUUAUUAUAAUUCAAUGACAAUACCAACAACUUUUCAAUCUAAACAUUUGGAAGUAGAAGAUAGGUAAAUUGAUGGAGUACAUUUUAAACCUCUCAUUGAAUAAGAAAAGAUUCAUUGUCAUCAAGAAGGACUAUGUUUAUAUUGUGGAGAAGCUAAGCACACUCCUCAAUAUUAUCCAAAGAAACGAUAUAACUACAAAAUGAGGAGUACUAUUGUCAAAGAUGAAAACAUGUGAAAAAAUAAAUUUGUCCAGAUACAAUAGGAAUUGUGCGAUUGGAAUCUUAUACCAUUUCUAAUUAAGGUCAUAUUCUCUCCUCGGAACCCUCUCCUUAUAUUAUAAUAGAUAUGUGUUUAGGAUCUAAUAAUCACAAAGCCUCUGCCUUAAUAGAUUUAGAAGCCUCAAAUUAUUUUUUAGAUGAAGAAUUUAUUAAAAGUCAUACUAUAUAAUUAAUACAAAAAAUUAAAUCCCUACACAUAGAAGUCAUAAACGAUUGUCCGUUAUCUUCUAAAGAUAUUACUCAUGAAACACUUCCAAUACAUGUAGUAAUAAAUGGUCAUAAUAGUUGCAUAAUUUUUAAUAUAAUUAGAUCUCCCUUUAAUCUAGUCAUUUUAGUUUUAUCAUGGCUAAAAAAAUAUAAUCUUGUAAUAGAUUGGAUUUCUUGUAAACUUGACUUUUCUUCAAACAUCAUUAAGAGUUUUUCUAAUCUAGUAGAAAGCCAUGAGUCUAAUGUAGCCAAACCUAUACUUGUAGAUGCAAAAGCUUUUUUGCAUGCUAUAAAAAAGGAUUGUCUUUUUUUAUUUGUGCUACACCUAUUUUAAAUGAUGGAAAGAUUUGAAGUGAAAUUCCUAGUCAAUAUCAAUACUUUUAAGAUGUUUUUGAAAAAAAGAAUGCAAAUAUUUUUCCAAAGCAUCAUCCAUAUGAUUUUUCAAUCGAUCUUAAAGAAGGAACUUAGCCACUAUUUGGUCCAAUCUAUAGUUUAUCACAAAAUGAGUUGGCUAAACUCAAGAAGUACAUUGAUGAGCACUUGGCCAAAAAUUCAACUAUCACUAAGAUGAUUGGAAAAUUCUUUUGCCAUUGGCAAAGUUUGCUUAUAAUAAUUUGGUACAUUUUUCUACUCAACAAACACCUUUUUUUGCCAAUUAUGAUUAUCAUCCAGGAUUUGAUACUUUUAACUUUUCAAAGGUUGAUAAUCCUAUGGCGGAAGAUGUGGCAAAUCUAUUGUCAGAGCUACAUGUAACAAUGAAGGCAUAAUUAAAAGAAGCUUAAGAAUGACAAAAAGAUAACAUAGAUGUUUAUUAUAAGGAACAAUCUCAAUUCUAUAUAGAAAAUAAUAUAUGGUUACUUCAUAAUAUUAAAACUAUUUUUCCUUGUGACAAGCUAGAUUAUCAUAGACUUGGACCAUUUCAUAUUUAUGAAUAAAUCAAUCUAGUUGCUUAUCAAUUAUACCUAUCAGAGUUUGAAAAUCCAUCAUGUAUUCCAUAUAUAUUUACUUGAACCAUACAAGAUAAUGGAUAUAUGAGAAAGGAGACAAAUGCCACCAUCUCUUAUAGAAAUAGACGAUAAUAAAGAAUUUGAAGUAGAAGAAGUCUUAGAUUCGAGGUAGUACCAAAAUAGGUAAGAAUAUGUCAUACAUUGGCAUGGAUAUGACAUUAAUGAAUGUAUAAGGAAGCAAUCUAGGAAUGUAGUAAAUACAUCAGCCAAAAUUAAAGCUUUUUAUCAAUGACAUCUAUCUAAAUCAAGAUGAAGAGUUAAAAAAUUCUUUGCUAUAAAGUAAAACAAAUCCAAUAGAGAUUUCAUUCUAUCUUGUAUCAUUAUUUCUUUAGAUUUUUUUAGUACUUAGGAGAUGGAGAACCAAGAUUUAAUUCAAGAGCUAUCAAUUGUUGAGUAAUCAAAUUAAACAUUAUAACUAUUAAAACCUUUGAGAUGACAAAAUUGACAUAAAGAUCCUCAAGAAUGAUAUGUUCUUUCUUAAAUAGAUGGCAAGAUACAACGCAUUUGGUACCAUGACCUUGGAAGUGACUCCUAGUAUUUAGUGAUACUUUUGGAGGUAGAACCCACUUAUAAUGGUAUUACUAAUAUUUUAUUUGAAGGAAGUUAUGAAGGCUUCAAUAAGGAUCAAAUAUCAGGGUAGUCUUAUUGCCUUGGUAUGGGACAUUAUUGAUGGUUGAAGGAACAUAUCAACUACUUUUAAAAGAAAACAAAGAUCAAUAUAUGUAGCAAAUACAAUUUGGUGCAUCUUAGACUUCUUCAACAUGUAAUCACCGCUUCUUGUAGAACUCGUUCCUAGAAAAGAGGAUAAUGUCACAAACAUACAUAUUUAUCUUAAUAAUUAUCUAGAUAAUAAUAAUAGGUAGAAAUAAGUCAAAAUAAAAAUAUGAUAAUAUCUUGUAGAAAGCUUUAUAGAUGCUUCACAGAUGCUGCUUUGCCUUUAUAUAUGUCUAUAGGUGAUUGGUAGGUUAAAAACUUGGCCAACAAGGAGGCCAUGUUGUUGAGAUAGAGAGAAUUUGCUUCAAGAAAGCAGUGGGCUCCUGACUGCUACUAAUUGCUCAAUGAAGUCUUGAGAUAAGAAGGACCAAGUUUGCAUAUAUAUAUAUAUAUAUAUAUAUAUAUAUAUAUAUAUGACACUUUUAGAUACUAUUAUACCAAAAAUAUAAGUCUUAAGUUUCCAAAAAUAUCCAAAAUAUGAUAAAACCUAUAAAUCCUUAAAUAUCCUUAAAGGGUAUUAUUUGUGAUUUCAAAAAACUCAUAUCUUUCACACACACUAUUUUAUACACACUCUCAAAUUAUAUGAAGAGUUGAUGUACUUUUAACAACUACCACAACAAAUUUCAAUUACAAAUAUCCUUAUGGGAUAUUAUUUGUGAACUUCAAAAAUUCAUAUCUUUUAAUUGGACUAUUCAAACACAUUCAAAUUCUAUAUAAAGUAUUGGUAUACUUUUAACAACUACCAUAACAAAUUUCAACUAUAAAUUCAUUGCGGAUCUUAUGAUAUCACCAAAACCCUAAUAGUAGCUUCAAAUCCUAAUUUUUAUAUACCUACAUGUAAUUUUUUUCAUAUCUCACAAAUUAAACAAUCAAAUGCUACAAAUUACAUAUAUAUAUAUAUAUAUAUAUAUAUAUAUAUAUAUAUAUAUAUAUAUAUAUAGCUUUUUAAGACAAUAUUAUAUCUUCUUUUAAAGGUUUGAGCUAAAAAUUCAUCUAAAAACUUAAGAUAUGGCUCCAACCAUUACUAUGAACAAAUCACUUACUUAUUGCCUUUUAUUUGGAUGCACUGAUUUUAAUUCUCUAUAACUUCUUCAUCUGAACUCUAAAUUCAUAAAGUAAUAUAUAAAAAGUUUAGUCGAGGAAUAGCUCUCUUCAAUCCUAAUCAUUGAUUCUUUGUUUCUUUCCAUAAACAUAUGUUAUGCCCCAAAGAGUGAUAAUAGGUAUAAAAUUGACACCUUAACUUUGAGCGCCAAUAACUCUUUUAUAAAAACUCCAAAUCACACAAAAUUUACAUCCAAUCCAUAUCCAAAAACUUUAAAUUUUUGAUCCUAGCCUCCAAAUUUCGAAUGACCUUAAAAGAGAAAUCUUAAUCCCUAAUAAGGCCUCAGGUAGCCUCGUUGAAGUCCAUUGGGUAUGGCCAUCGAUCAAUAGGAAUGAAGAACUCCAUUCUUUGCCUUCAUCCACCCAUGUCUUGCUUUCAUCCUUCUCAAUAACCCUCAUACUAGUUAAGAUUUUCUUCUUUAGGUUCCAAUCUCUUCUCAAGGCUUCAUACUAAAUAUUUAAGUCCUAUAAUUUUUUUAAAUGCUAUAAUCAAAAUAAAUAAAACUUAAAAUAAUAUUUUUUAUAUCUAAUCUCUUUAAAUUAAUCUAUUAAUUAUUAUAAUAUACACCAAGACUUAUUAACAUAUUAUAUAUUCUAAUUUAUUUUUACACAUUAUAAGCAAUUACAAUAUGACAGCGUGUUGACAUGUCAACCUCUUGUAGUAUAAGUUGGACAUAUGGGACACACCUAAGAAACUUGCCUUAUAAAAUUAGACAUGUGCCUUACAAGUUGGAUACAUAUUAGAGGUCUUAAAGCAUGUCGCCAUGUAGUUCUUACUUAAGUAGUAUAUAUAGAAGCAAGAACGAGGCCUUCCUCACUCUUGUCAACACUUUUUUUGCUUUUAGUCUAGUUUCAAGAGUCUUAUAUUUUCUAGUCUUUGGAAAUAGCCAUUCCAACUCUUCUUUGAAUAUACAUACUUUCUUCUAUUUUGUUACUUUUCUUUUGACACAAAUUCUAUGAGUUUAUGCAUCUUCCUCCAAUUUGUGUCCUUCCCAAAAUCCUUAUUAGUAGCUGCAAGAGCUUUGAUGCAUGCCACAAAAAAAGAAUCAUCUUUUGUUAUAAAUGCCACGCCUAUUUUUGAUGGUGGAAAGAUGUCAAAUAGUAUUUUAAACUAAUAUCAAGAUUUUUUGGAUGUAUUUUGAAGAAAAGAAUGCAGAUAUUCUUUCAGAGUAUCAUCCUUAUGAUUGUUCCAUCAAUUCUUAAGAUGAGAAGGCAUGACAAAUUCUAUCUAGUAGAUUUUUAUUUGAAAAAAAUUUCAACAGUUGAGAUUAAUUAUGAGAUCUACAACAAAGAACUUCUAACAAUCUUAGAUUCAUUUUAAGAAUGGCAUAAUUAUCCAAAAAGUACCUCGAGUCCAAUAAAUAUAUAUAUAUAUAAAUCACAAAAACCUCAAAUACUUCAUGUGGGCACGUAUUUUGAAUUGUCGCCAAGUUUAUUGGUAUAUAAUUAUGUGUUAUUUAAACUUAUUAUGAAUUUUUAGCAGUCACAUAUUUUGGAUACAACAAGACUUUGGAGCUAAUAUCGAGAGAUUUUUGAUCGCCUUAAAUAUAGAAGAUAGUAAAAGACUUUGUACAAUCAUAUAAUAUUUGUUCAAGAUUCAAAACUCGUCAUUAUUGACCUAUGGACUUCUUCAUCCAUUAUAUAUUCCAAAACAACAAUAUUUAUCCAUUUCUAUGGAUUUUAUCAAAGAUCUUUCAAUCUUAGGUUUGUAUAAUUUUAUAUUCAUGAUAGUAGAUUGUUUUACUAAGAUAGCAUAUUCUAUACUAUGUACAAAAUAUAUCAGAGAUGAAGAAAUACUAAUCUUUUUCUUAAAAAUAUCUAUUGCUAUUAUGGAUUGCUUAAAGAUAUUAUAUCAGAUAGAGGGACUUAGUUUAUAUCAAGAUUUUAGAGAAUCCUUUUUAAGAUUUUAAAGGUGGAUAUAAAGCUCUCUUUUGCUUUGUAUCCUUAAAGAAACGUGCCUAAUCUAUCUCAAGUAUCCAAGUCUCCUUCUAAUUUACAACAACAUAAAACCUCAUGACAAAGUAGGACAAACUGGUUCAAAAUAAAAUUGAAUAGGAUUAAAUAAAAUGAGACACAAAAUACAAAAUUAAACAACCAAAAUUAGAAUAAAAUAAAACAAAAUUAAAUAGGACUAAACAAAAUGAGAUACAAUAGACAAAAUUGAGCAACCAAAAUUAAAACAAAAUAGAAUAAAAUAGAACAAAAUAUGAAGAUAUAAAAUUCAAUUUUAUUAAGAGAAAGGUUCAAAGCCAUACAUGAUCAAAUAUCCCAAAAGGCCCUAGACAGUUCUAUUUAUAUUUUAUUCUACCACCGUGGAUUUUUUAGAAUAUUCUUAGAUAAUGGACCCUGCUAAGAUAAUUGCUUUAAAUUCUUUCUAAAAGGUUUUAUGAUAGGCUCCACUUAGAUAACUGCCCUAAGCCUUUUUUUAAAAGUUCCAUCGUAGGCUCUACUUAAAAAUCUAUCUUAAAUUCUUUCUAGAAUGUUCUCUAAUAGAUCUUAUCUAGUCCACUAACCUAACUCUAAUUCUAAAAAACUUCCAUAACUUCUCUAUGAUAAUUCUAACUAUCUAUUUCUAUGUAUCAAUAAUACAAAUAUCUUAUCUAUACCUUGUCACAAUUAAUCUCCCUCUAUUAAUAUCAAACAUCUUUAUUUUGCUUCCAAUAUCAGUGAUUAUCUGCAUACUACUUUUGUGAAUUCUAUGUGGUAAAGAGGUGAUGUUGUGCCUCUUGUAAGGCCGUUGUAAGCCAUUGUAUACAUUCCUUUGUUGUCAAAUUAUUGGUGUCGAUUGGACGAUAGAGAGUUGUUAGCAAAAUUGGAUACUAAUUGGUGUUAAAGAAAAAUGGUGAAUGACCACUACUUGUUUGAAUACUAUCAUUGUAAGCAAACUUUAAGGGCAUUAAGUAUUCAUCUUAAUUAUUAUAAUGAACCACCUUAAAUACUCAAAAUAUAUCUUCCAAGGUCCAAUUUAUAUACUUUAUUUAUCCAUCUAUUUAAAAAUAGAAGGUUGUAGACAUAGUAAUUCGUGUACUAAGUAGCUUGAACAAGUCUUGUCAAAAAUUUCUUGUAAAGCAUGGAUCUCAAUCUAAAAUGAUCUGUUCUAGAGUCUUUGCUCACCUUAAAUAUCCAGAUAUUGAGAUAUCAUGUCUCUCUAAAAGUAUACAUGUCCGGAGUAUAGCAUUAUUGGAUACAUAAAUCUACUUCUUCAAAUAGAACAAGCCAUUAUUAAGACUAUAAUUUGAUACUAUAUAUUAUCUAUCUUCAAUCGAUCGCUAAUCACCUUGAAAUAAGCAUCCCAAUGUGUAGCUUUCUUCUAUUCUGUCUCUUUGGUUAGAUUUGAAAUGACAUUACUAAUCGUAGAAACUUCUGUCUAUUUUCUUGAUUUGUCUUUCAUGUAUGGUCUUUACAAUAAGUUGUCUGGCAUAGUAUAUUGUUGGCCUUGCUUAUAUUCAAGUUACAUAUCAAAAAGCUACAACUAUUCUUCUCAAUAAUGAUAUUGUGAUUUUAUAUUUUUUAAAUAAAAAUUAUAUAUUAAAGAUCAUUGAUCAAUCCGAACAACCACAUGCUUCUCCAAUAAAUAGUGUCGCCACAUCUUUGUGGCAUGUACAAUUGCUAAUUGGUUUUGAUCAUAUAAAGAGUAAUUUUGCUUUGUUCUUUUGAGCUUAGUAGUUCAAAUGCCACAUAUUGAAGGCUCUUACUAAAGUUUAGUUAAAAGACCACUCUAAUAGCAAAGUUGGAAGCAUCAAUGUGAAGUGUACAAAGUAGGUUGCGAUCAUAUGAUUGCAAUAUUAGAAUAAUAAUGAGUGCUUCUUUCAACAUAUCAAAGGUACUUUGCUACUCGAGUUUCUAUUCAAAUAGGACACCCUUCUCCAAUAGGUUUGUUAAUGAGAGAGCAAUAUGUACAAAUCUCUAAAUAAAACGAUGAUAAUAUCUAGCAAGGCUUAAAAAUGAGUGGCCUUUAGAAGCAUCUUUGGAGGUUUGUCAAUCUUCUACCACUUUCACCUUAUCUUGUUCUAUAUGUAUGUCUUUGGAAGACACCACAUGCCUCAAAAAUAUCACUUUUGACUUCCAAAGUUUAUAUUUUGAUUGCUUAUAAUAGAAACUUAAAUCUUCUAGCCAAUGUAAUACUUUUUAUAGAUGUUACUCAUACUCUUCAAGGAUUUUAUUAUAUACAAAGAUAUCAUCAAUAAAAACAACUACAUACUUAUCUAAAAGGUCCCAAAAUAAUCUAUUUAUAUGACCUAUGAAAGAAGCUGGAGCAUAUUUGAAGCCAAAAUGUAAAACCACCCAUUCAAAAUGUCUAUAGUGCGUACAAAAUUUUAUCAUUUUUACAUCUUUUUUUGUAAUAAAAGUUUGCCAAUAACUGCUUCAAAGAUUUAAUUUAUUAAAGAUGGUCACAACUUAAAGUUGAUUAAGAAGAUCAUCCACAUGCGAAAGUAGAUAUGCAUUCUCAAUAGUCUAUUUAUUGAGACAUCAAUAAUUGAUGCAAAGGCAAAAUCCACCAUCCUUCUAAGGUGCAAAGAAUGUAGGUGCUCCUCAGGGUGAUGUCCUUUUUCAAAUGAGGUCUUUUUUCAAGAAUUUAUUUAAUGUCUUCUACAAUUCUUUAAGUUCUUUUGGUGUUAGGCAAUAAAUUUUUCAACUUAUUAGUUUGGCUUCAAGCAAUAAUUCUAUUUGAAAGGAAGCACUUCAAUCAAGAUGCAUGCCACUAGGUAGGUCAGUUGAAAAGAUAUUUUGAUAUUCCCGUAUGAGUUGAUAAGUCCAUUCUAUUCCUUCGGCUUUUUCUUCUACCAUUGAUGCAAGAUUUAAAACCACCAUAUAUAUAUAUAUAUAUAUAUAUAUAUAUAUAUAUAUAUAUAUAUAUAUAUAUAUAUCGAUUACUUAUGUUGUAUUUGUUUAUUUAUAAAGGUCAUUUCUACAAAUAAGACUUGAGUUGUAGAUUAUCUUUCUUCUUUACUUGAUGCAGAGGUAUAAAGAAUUACUUUGCAUCUACCAUAUUUAAAGGAGAUUGUCUUUACUAUCAAACCAAAUUACUUAUUUUUCAUCUUUAGCCAUGGUAUACCAAAAAUAAUAUCAUAUCUUAGAUUUAUCACCUUGAAUUUCUCUCUUAAGACAAAGGUGUCAGUCAAACUCAAGGUUUUUAUUUCACAUGUCUCACUCAAUACUUUUUCUCAGUCAUCUGCAAGGUAUAUACUUCCUCCCUUUAUUUCCAUAGUUUUAAUUCCAAGUCAGUUGGUAAUUUCACUUCAAAUGUAAUUUUUUAUAGAGCUACAAUCUACAAGUAUUUAAAAUGGUUGUCUUCUUAGUAGUGCCAUUAGAUGUACCAGUUGACUCUUUUUAUAGUUUUUUGAGGCCAUACUAUUUAUCUUUGAGAGAUAGUAGCUAUUCCUACUACUAGCCUUUGGUGUCUUUACUGGGAAGCCUUAUUUUCUUACUUUGUCUCAUUAUUAACUUAGUGAAUUUUGAAACUAUGAACCAGCCUUAUUUUGCUGGUACUUGAAUUUUGAUAUUUUAGACAACCUUCAAUGUGAUGGCUUGGCUCUUGACAACUUUCAAUGUAAUGUCUUGGCUAACUUUACAUAAUCUCCAUUAAUAUUGGUUAUUAUAUCAUGGUAUUAGAUAGUUACAUAAGACUUUGUACUAUAGGUCAUGCUCUAUGAUUUUUGAAAUUUAAAGCAUUGAUCCUCUUUGUCAUCCAAAUUUUCUUUUUGAACAUUUAUUGAUUCUUUAAUUUUACCUCUCGUUAAACUCCACAUUUCAAACCUUGUAGAAAUCGAUCCAUCAUCUCCCUUCCAAAACAUUGUCAAUUAGGAGACAUAUAGACUUAAAUCUAUAGAUAUAAUCUUUGACUAAUCUAGAUUGUAUAAGACUUACCAACUAAUCAUGUGCUAUCUUUUCUACAUUGAUGGGCCAAAAAGUGAUUCCUAAACUUGGUCUCAAAUUCCUCCCGAUCAUAAAAUCUACCUUGAACUCCCUAUCUUUGAAUUCAAUGUGGCUACUAAAUAGCUAUUGCAUCUUUCAAAUACUUGGCUGCAUACAUAAUUCAUUUAGUGGUCUUUUCCUCAAAUAGUUGGAGGUAUUGUUGUAUAUUGAAGAGCCAUUAAUUGUCUUCUCUUAGAUGCUUCUAUUUACUCUUACAAAGUAGCUAUUUAGUCUAAGAGGUGUUGUAUUUGAGCCUCCAUUUGAGAUUGCUUUGCUAUAUCUCUUAUGUUGUAAUUUGUCCACUGGACUCCAUUAUUGUAAUGCCUUUCUACCUUACAAUUGAUUUCUUAAGAGUAUCUCGUAGUUGCUUUAAUAUAGUACCUAGUGUGACUACAACAAUUGAUCUUGGACUAGAUGAUAUCUAUUGACAUACUAUGAAAGAAUAAUCUAACACUCCCUUUGAUAUCAAUAAAACAGGACCGGUCUAUCUCAAAUAUCAAAGAUCCCUUCUAAUCUACAUCAACAUGAAACCUCAUCUUAAGAUAAGAUAAAAUAGACCAAAAUAAAAUUGAAUAAAACUAAAUAAAAUAGAAUACGAAAGACAAAACUAAGCAACCAAAAUUAGAACAAAAUUAUAUAAAAUAUGAAGAUACAAAAUCAAAUUAUAUUAAGAAAAAAGGUCCAAAGCCACACCUGACUAGAUGUCAUGAAAGGCCUUGGCUAAUCCUAUUUAUAUUUUGUUCUAUCAUCCUAGAAUUUUUAUAAUAUUUUAAGAUAAUGGAUAUUAUUUAAAUAAUUAUUGUCGUUAGAUGUUUUACUUACUCCAAACUAAUUUAAUGGGAAUAAACCCAUAUAGGAGGAUUUGAACAUGAGAAAUGACUAGUUGCUUAAGCGUUCACAUUAGGGUCACACAAUCAACUACCUCCUAAACGUAUUGUCUCUAUUUUCUAUAUCCAAAUACACAAGGAUACUAUAAUCUCUUCCUUCACUCAAUCGGUCUCUUCCUUACAGUAAUUUAGUCAUACUAAUAACUGCUAUUUCCACCAAUAUAUAUUCACUCUCAUAAUCUCCAAUCAUAAUACUACACCAUCACCACUUUCAGCACACAAUUACCUUCAUUCUAAUUCUUGGAAAUCCUCACUUUGAACUAUUACUCUCAAUGUUGUGCUUCUCACACCCACACACUGAUUUUUUUUGCUAAACUACAAUCAGAUUUCACCAUUCAGUCUUUCUUUUUUUUAUUCAAUAAUAUAUAAUCCCAAUCACACUUUUAUUUCAUAAUUCACUUGACAAUAUUCAGAAACUCUCAAUCCUCUUAUUCAAAGAAAACAAACAAAAAAAAAGAGGUAGCACUAAGCUUACCUCGGCUCACAACUAUCACAGUAAUGGCAUUUACUUCCUCUCUCUCAUCCUCUUUAUGCUACUCCAAGAUACCCACUGCUACAUUUGUAAUGAAAACUACUUCUGCUAACUAUUCAUCUAUUUUACUUGCUGAACUACCUUUUCAGUAGUCAUCUAUUCGUGUUUAUACUAUACACUAGAUAUCUACAUUCUUAAAAUAACUACUUAUUGUACAUAGCUCCAUUCCUAACUGUGCAGCAUUCUUACAAACAUCUAAGAUAAAGCCAAACUGGUUACUCCCCAGCAUUACCCAAACUUCGAUCCACUGAUUCUAAUUUCAAAGGUCCAUCGUCAUCCUCCUCAUCUCAUACAUUUAUUGGUACUAUGUUCAAUCUGGCGGUUAAAUCUUCAUUAAGUGCACCCAAUUCUCGUGCUUGGCUUUCCAAUUGCACAAUUUAGGUAUCCUUUGCUUAUAAUUGAUGUUGCUGUUGCUUCACCUUUUUUUUCAAUUCACCAAUUGAACCUUCUAUUGGAGUAGAUAUUUGUGACUACCGAACGCAGGUCAAUUCUUCCUCCAAUUUCUUUGCAACCUCCUUCAGAGUGUUGAUUUUCUCUUACAUCUCCUUUGUUUUCACUCUGUAUUGGUCACUCAUCACCCUCUUUUUUUGCUCCAAAGUCGCCAUCUUCUUUUGGUUCAAUUCCAAUUGAUGCUGCAUUUUUUCAAAUUCCAGUUUUGCUUUAUUGCGAGACUUGAAGAGUUCUUAUUUCUGGGGCUCCAUUCCUUGGUAAAGGCAUUUUUUUUUUUUUUUUCCCAUGCUUGCUAUUUUACUCCAAAUGCAUGCUUCAGAUUCAAAUUGACUUCUUUGGUGGCCUUGAUCACCCGAUCUAGUUCCAACAAUCUUUGACAUUGUUCUACCAUUUCCUUCUUACACAUGAGCAAUUGUUGCUUUAAUGCUACAUUGUCAACCAAUUCGUUUAUCUUCAACUAUAAUUGAAAUAUUUGUGCCAAUAAUAUCUCCUUUAAACUAUUACCCUCCAAUGUUCGAUAUUGGAUAUCUACUAGCCUCCUGUCCCUCUACCACAUUGAGAUUUUUCUUGCGGUUUCGUCUCUCUGAGCUAUUGGAGCCCGCUCUUGAAUACUGCUUGGUUCCCUUGCCUGCUGGCUGCUUUCUCUCGGUACCCAUGGAAGUGCCAAUAGAUUGCUCCUCGGUUGUGCUAGUGCUAGAUCUGCUAUCAUCUUUCUUUUCUCCGGCAACGAUUGAUUCAUCUCAUAUACAAUUGCAGAAUGUAUAUAAUUGGAACACAGAAGCGUCACAAUUCUCUUUGUCUUGUGCUUUACUCCCAACUCUGCGUGAAUUCUGGUGGCCACGUACACUGCCCAAUUGAACACCAUAUCUUAGAAGGAUCCUAUUGUCACAAAUAAUAAUCUUUUGGCCAUUUAUAUUGUAUGUCUAUUUAAUUCCAACCAUUUCUAAAUGAAGCGCAUCAACUCCAUCAAUUUUGGUGUAAGUGCCUCCGUCGUCCGCCAUCCUUGAUUUGUUUUUAGCAACGUCAUACCUCCUUUGAAGUAAUUCCCUAGAUUGAAGUGUGAAGACUCAUCGAUUCUAAUCGUGAGCUCUCCUAUUGGUAGAUGCAAUGCCUUAUACAAGAUAUUCUCAUCAAUUCCAAUAGUCCUCUCUUUUACGACACUCGAACCAUCCUCAGGGUCAUAGUUUGUCAAGUAUUCUUCUAAUAAUUUUAUAUCGAUUGAUAGUAAAUUAUCGAUCGCUCGUAGAAAGAGAUAUAACUAUACACUUCUAAAGUCCUUCUGCCGUGCUGCGUUCCAACAAAUUUCUAACCUCAUGAGUUCCAUGUUUGUGAGAAUACAUGAAGAAAGAUCAUCCAUAUUACUCUUCAACUUCAUUCUUCUACCAUCUUUUUCCUUCUCCAAGACUCUCUUCACUUUCUCCCUCGACAUUAUGAAACAUUACGUAACACUCCUCACUCCCACUACUACUGCGUUUAAGAUUAUCGUUGUAGACUUUCUACUACCGAAACUAUGCUCCAAAAAAAAAAACUCUAAACAAAAUACUAAAAAUAGCCAACAUGGAGUGUCCUUUUCUUUACUGUUUAUUCGGUUAUGGAUCAAGAAUCCGUAAUCUUGAUUAUUGAUGUUCUAAUCCACUAAUCAACCACCACCUUUCGCCUCUCAUUAUACACUUGUGAUUGCGGCAAGUCAUCAUGAACGGGUACGUCUUUCUCUCUUCCAAUAUUGAUAAAUUCACCCCCAAAUUUAUAUAUAAUACAUGCAUAGUCAUUUGCCAUUGAUACGGGUUGUGAAUUGGUUUCCUAUGAAGUCUUCUAAUUGGACUAAACCAUUGGGAAAGCCUUCCAAUAUGCAAUAGGGUCCAUGCCACCAAAUUUAAAAUUUUCUUAGAAAAUUGUAAAAAUGGCUGUCAUACAACAUUACUAGAUCACUUGGCAUAAAUACUUUUGGGUGGAGUUUACUAUCGUAAUAGCUCUUCUAGUGGCACUGAAUAGCUUCCAUUGUCACCAAAGCUGAAGCCCUAAUCUCAUCUAAUUUUUCCAAAUCUAUCAACCGAUAUUCGAGAGAUUUAGUGUCACCCAAUCGUUCAUCCAAUGUAAUUCAUAAACUUUGAACCUCCAAUUCUAUUGGUAAUAAUGCCUCUUAUCCAUAUACCAAUUGAAAAGGUGUAGAAUUAGUUGACACUUUAUACGCAGUACAAUAGGCCCACAAUGCAGUAAAUAAUUUACUGUUGCAAUUGAUUUCCACUCCUGAAAUAGCCUUGGUUAAGAUCUUAUAUAGGAUACUAUCGAUCUUUUCUGUCUAUCCAUUGGCUUGUGGAUGAUAAGGCGUGGUUUUGCGAUGCUUGAUCUCAUACUUUGCUGUUAAUGCUGCAAUUGUUGCAUUAAUAAAAUGUGUUCCGUGAUCACUUACCAAUUCUUUCGGACAACCAAAACGAGUGAUAAUACUCUCAUAUAAAAAUAUUGCUAUGAUCAUGGCAUUAUCAAUUUUUGUUGUCAUUGCCUCCGCUCAUUUGGUGGCAUAAUCGGUGGCUACUAGAAUAUAUCGUUUCUGUCCAUUUUGAGAAGCAGGUGCAAUUGGUCCUACAAAAUCAAUACCCCAUUUUUCGAAUAGUGCCUGUGCCAAAAUUGGUACCAAUGGCAUUGCAAAAGUUUCAGUAGGGCGAUCAAUUCAUUGGCAAGGAUCACAACCACGAACAUAUUGGUGUGCAUCUAAAAACAUUGUUGGCAAGCAAUAUCCAGCCAUUAAAGCUUUACGCGCGGUACUAUUACCUGCAAAAUGUCCUCCACAGUUGUUCACGUGAUAUCCUUUUAAUAUUGUACAAACUUUACUUUGAAAUGUGCAAUGGCAUAAAAUUCCAUCCCGUCCUUGUAUGUACAAGGCAUCACCAAUCAUGGUAUAUGAUGCACUUUUUAAAAUCAAACGCUUCUUUAAUUUUUCACGAUAGGAUGUCAAAAAAGUCUAAAACGUGAGAUAUUGGAUCAAUUCACCAUAUUCGGAUGUAAUGACAUCUAUAGCGAAUAAUUGUGCAUUUGAAAGGGCAUCGUUUAUCGACUCAUUACCUAGUAUAUUAGAUAAGCAGGACAAGUAAUCCGCAUUAGCAUGUUUCUUGUGAGGUCAAACAUUAAUCAUAAAGUUAAAUUUCUAGAGAAGUAACACCCAUCGAGAAAUUUGGCUACUCAAUUGAGGUUUAUAUAUCAUAUAUUUAAGUGCAUCAUGAUCAACGUGAAAUACAAAUGGAUAUCCGAGUAGAUAGUGGUAGAAUUUUUGUACAAAGUAUAUCAUUUCGAGGGCUUCUCGUUUGAUAGUAUUAUAGUUGUGUUAUGCCAUAACCAAUUGUCGACUCUCAAAAUAUAUUGGAUGAUCACGAUUAUUUUUAUCUUUCAGACUCAAUAUCGAUCCAAUCGCUACAUUGGAUGUAUCGACAUAAACCUGAAAUGGUUUUGUCCAGUACGGGGCAAUCAGUAUUGGUACAAAUACCAAUUUUUGUUUUAACACCUCAAAGGCAACACUACAUUCUGCCAUCCAAAUGGGGCUAGAUCCAUCCAAUUGUGGUUUCUUUAGCAGAUUUGUCAAUGGCUGACAUAGCACCACAAAUGAAUGAAUGAGUCGCCAAUAAUAAUUAACAUGGCCUACAAAAUUACGUACUUCUAAUACCGUUUUUGGCUUUGAUAAAGCCAAUAUUCAAGUUACUUUAUCGGGGUCUGUAGCAAUACCACGUCUAAAAACUAUGUGUUUCAAGAAUUUUUUCGAGGGUAUCCCAAAUUAACACUUCUCCAAAUUCAAAGAUAUCUCAUACUUAUCGCAUUAGUCCAGACAUUGUUCUAAAGAGUCCAAAUGAUCAACUAUAGUACUGAACCUGCAAAAAUCAUCUAAAAAUAUUUCCAUUGACACUCGUAAGUAAUCUUGAAAUGUUUGUGUCAUAACCCGUUGGAAUGUAGCUACUACGUUGUAUAAUUCAAAUAGCAUCACUUUGUAAGCAAAUGUGCCCCAAUCUGUUGUAAAUGUAGACUAGGACUGGUCUUCCUUGGCAAUUUUGACUUGAUUGUAACCUGAAAAACCAUCCAAAAAUGAAUAACAUUCGUGUCUAGCUAUGGCAUCCAAUAUACUGUCUGUAAAAGGUAGAAGAAAGUAGUCCUUCUUGGUAGCAGCAUUGAAUUUCCAAAAGUCUUAACAGAUUUUGAUUUUGCCAUUUUUUUGAGGUACCAUUAUCAUUGAUAAAACUCAUUUGCUAUACGAAACUGGAUAAAUAAAAGCCACGCGUAAUAGUUUAUCCAAUUCUUCUUUCACCAUCAAAGAAUAUUUUGGGUUGAGACGGUGCUAUCUUUCACAAACUGGUGUAACAUCCUUAACCAAUGUAAUGCGAUGUUCACACAUGCUUACUGGAAUACCUUUCAAAACUACAUACGUCCAAGCAAACGACGAUUUAUGCUUGAGAAAGAAUUCUUUCCACUUAUUCAACUCAUUACCUUGAAUACCCUCAUACAUCUUUACAUUCUGGGGCGCUUCAUGGAUUCCUAAGUUUAUAACCUAGAAAGUAGAUUCCUCCCUAGCUUCUGAUUUAAAAUUACCUGCUGACCCAUCAUCUUGCGUAGGAGACAACAACUGCUCGUGGCUCAUUUCUGACCUCAUUCCACUCACAUAAUUGACAACAUAUCUGAUCAUCCAUUCGGUAAAAACAUCAUCCGAGUUAGUUGCAUCCUCCUGAUGUAGUAGAUAUUUGUUGGGAUCUCCACAUUGGUAAACUCCUCUCUUUGCUAUUGAAGUAUUUUGUCCUCCCUUAAAUUGCGGUGAACCUAUAGCAUCAUUGUCUUCCUCAAUCGAUUGACUCUUGUUGUUUGAUGUAAACUCUGAUUCUGGUACUUGAGAUUCUCUGUGAUAUUGUACCGAGUAUAUCUGUAGAACAAUCUGGUUACGACCUUUUCUAAUUAUCAAGGUGCCUCGGCCCCAAUCGUUCUUAGCUUUGGCUUGAUAAAGCUAAGGUCUGCCCAAUAAAAUUGGAUAUGAUAAUGUAGAACUCUGUAAUUGGAAUACAAUAUAAUCAAUUUUGUAUAUCAAUCCCAUGAUUACAGUGGCAAUAUUGCGUAAAAUUUCUAUUGGCUUUAUCCAAUUAUGAUCUGCCAUUUGGAAGACCAAUGUCGUAGGUAGCAAUUGCUUUAGAUCCAAAUCCUCUAUUAUAUCCGCCUUCAUUAAAUUCACAUUCGAGCCACCAUCGACUUGUACCUCUAGAAUUAAAACUCCAUCGAUUGAUAUAUCGAUUGUUGAUGCUCCCGGAUUUGGAUUUAAGCUAACUUCAUGAAUUUUUCUAGUGCAGGGAUCUUCAUCAUAUUAACACUGAGUUCAAUGUAGAUCAACAUUCUGGUGCUAUAGCCAAAAGUUGCUUCAUUGUAAUUGAAGGUUGAAUAACAUCCAAAUCUUUUAGAAUGUCAUAGGGUUCCAUAUUGAGAGUAAUUCCUCAUACUCUUUUGCGUUUCAUUGGUUUUGAUUUUACUCCGUUUGGCAACAAUUCUUUCUUGACAAUUGGAAUUGCCGCUAGUAACUUUGCCAACAUUUCUAGUACUAAAGAUUCUUUUAAUGCAUAAGAUCUUUUAUUGGGCUGUACAAGUUUUAGUACUUGGUUAGUUGGGAUCGUUCUUGAUGGUCCCGGUAAAUUGGCACGUGGAACCGAAUUGAGUUCCUCGGUCUGCUGAGGUCUCAAUAUUGGGGUACGUCCCAAUACUGAUAUUGGUUCAUUUAGCCCCAUAGAUGAUGCUACUUGCUCUUCUGUGAUUGGUUCAUCUAGAUCCUGAAUUAAAUUCUUGUCUUUUUGUUGGCCUUUGAUAAGCAUUGCGUUCACUACCUCGACACAAUGUAUUUGUGAAUCCCGUUGAACAGGAUUUUUGUCCUCCGCUGGUUGGCUUAUUUGCAUGUGUUGGUCCCGAUUACUAUAAUUAAAGGACGCAUUGCACUACUGAGAAGUGUGAUCGGACUGCUUAUAAUUUCCACAUACUGAAACAUAGUCAUCACUUGCUCUUGGAUUAGGACAUUUACUUGUAUAAUAUCUGACUUGUCUGCAACGAUAGCAAUAAAGUGGUCUCUUGCCUGCUCUUUCAAGGAUAUUGGGUGUCUCUAUUAGUAUAUAAUGGCUAGGUCUGUUCCAUGUUGAAUGAGUAAAGGACCCUGGUUGAUCCAUUGGUACUGUAGGCUCUGACAUUAGCUUCGUCAUGGAUAGAUAUUAGUGGUAUCUUUGUUGGUUCAUCACCAAUCCAUGAGUAUUGGAUAUACCUUCUUGAUAAAAUUCAGAGUUUAAGAAAUUGGAAUCAUUUUUAUUUUGUUUAUUCGUUCGAUUUCCAUUCCAGCCAAAUCUAUUAUUCGUUUGUACUUGAUUGACAUUCUACGAAGUUGGUUGAAUCAUGGUCUGUUUUCCAACUUAUUGUUGCUUCCUUAAAUUCCAACAAUUGAUAGUCGUAUGCUUAUCUCCACAAAAUGUACAUUGGACCGUCAUUUGGGGUGGUGAAGAACAUUCAGUUUUCAAAUGACCUUAUCCUCUAUAAUUGUUGCACCAAACAUUGGGUUGCAUAUUGGUUGGUUUAUGCCGUUUUUCUUUAACCUUAGCCAGAUUCACAGCCAAUUCAUCCAUUUUUUUCAUCAAUGAUAACAGUAAUGAUUCAUAGGGAUCUCUUGAUACUAAUUCAUUUGACAAUUCUUUUAUAGGUAUUGGUUUUUGAUAUGCGGAAUAAGGCGCAUACGAGUGUGAUGAUGAAGGUGGUACAACUGACAAUAGGAUGACGUUCUCUAUUUCCUAUGGAAUUGUACCAUAAUCAUUCCUUCCCAAAUAACUGUCUGAUGCGUCAUUCCAAUUAUUCAUUUAAUAACCUCCUUGAGAUGGAAUCAUCGUGGCUCCUACGAUUAAGUUCUUAUCAUAGUGACAUUCCUUCCAUACUUUUGCUCGAUCAAGAGAUGAUGCAAUGGUGGCUAAUUGGGCCUCCUUUACAAACAUCUUCAACUUUGGUGGGUGUAGUCCAUUAACCAAUAUGGACAACACAAACGAUUUUGGGAUUUGGAUAUUUGGCCAUUUUCAAAGUAUAUUUCCUACACGACUAUAAUAUGACUGUAUCGCUUUCUCUGGUACCAUUUUGUUGUUCAUUAAUUUUUUUCUAAGACGUUCUUUAAAACCAAUUGAUCGAAAAUGGACUAAAAAUGUAUUUUUUAAUGCCUCCUAAUUGAUAAAUUGUCCCACAUGUUCGUGGUUAUAUCACUCAAACUCUGUAUCUUUCAAUGUUGUUGGCAGCCAUCUCAGCCAAAUACCUUUUGUUUUUCUAUUAUUGGCUACACACGCUGUCAAGAAUUGAGACAAAUAUUGAUCUGGGUCCGCACUUGAUAAUCCCUAAAAAGUAGAUAGUGGCAUGACACUAGUCAUACGAUCGCUUACUACACCCAUUUGAAUUGCAAUCGAAAUGACUGGUGCUCCUAAUGCCAUUGAAUUUCUUGUUUCACUAAACUUUGUUUUAAAAUAAACACUACUUUUCUUUAUUCUAAUUUUUGAGCUCUCAGUGCUCCUCGAUUUACUAUUAUUUUCUGCAAAUAGUUUUAUUGAUUGAAUUACGGGUGAAAAUAUCAGAUUUUGAAAUAUAAUAUAUUUAUCUUUAUUGGCAACCAAUUUGUGCCAAUCUUAAGAGUCACUAUUGCUCGGUUCGACAGUACCCACCAUUGAAAAAAUACCCAAUGGAGUACCCAACUCUUCUACGCCUUCUUCACUUUCAGUUAACAGCCUCAAGAUUUCUGCUGGAAUGUCAACAAAGUUUUCCGCGAGUGUUCUUGGCAGUUUUUUAAAUAAUACAUACGACUAUAGAAUUAACAGUUUGUCCGAUUUUCUGAUAUGUUCGAAUGCACCAACAAGCUUGCAACCACAGUUUAAUCCAACUCUAUUGAUGCUUUCUUUUAAAAUUACAUUCUUUCUCCUCUCUAAGCAAGUUCCUUCCUUGUGCUCUUUCCUCCCUUUCUCUCAAUUGAUGUAUUUUCUUCGAUGCAAAGCUGUCGUUCUUAUUAACCAUAAUCUUGUUUCAAACACUACUAAAAUCGUCUUCUAUUAUUCAUUUUAUCACACAUUCAGUAAUUAAUUCCUAACACUCAAAGCCAUUAUCAAUCCUGGCAACGGCGCCAAAAUCUGGUUAGACGUUUUACUUAUUUCAAACUAAUCUAAUGGAAAUAAAUCAGUAUAGGAGGAUUCAAACACGGAGAAUGACUAGUUGCUUAAGCGUUCACGUUAGGGUCACACAAUCAACAACCUCUUGAAUGUAUUGUCUCUAUUUUUUAUAUUCAAAUACACAAGGAUACUAUAAUCUCUUCCUUCACUCAAUUGGUCUCUUCUUUACAGUAAUUUAGUCAUACUAAUAACUGCUAUUUCCACCAAUAUAUAUUCACUCUCAUAAUCUCCAAUCAUAAUACUGCACCAUCACCACUUUCAGAUCACAAUUACCUUCAUUCUAAUUCUUGGAAAUCCUCACUUCGAACUGUCACUGUCAAUGUUGUGCUUCUUACAUCCUCACACUGAUUCUUUCAACUAAACUACAAUCAGAUUUCAGCAUUCAAUCUUUCAUUCAAUAACAUAUAAUCCCAAUCACACUUUCAUUUCAUAAUUCACUUGACAAUAUUCAGAAACUCUCAAUCCUCUUAUUCAAAGAAAACAAACAAAAAAAAAGAGGUAGCACCAAGCUUACCUCGGCUCACAACUAUCACAGUAAUGGCAUUUACUUCUUCUCUCUCAUCCUCCUUAUGCUACUCCAAGAUAUCCACUGCUACAUCUAUGAUGAAAACUACUUCUGCUAACUAUUCAUCUAUUUUACUUGCUGAACUAUCUUUUCAGCAGUCAUCUAUUCGUGUUUAUACCAUACACUAGGUAUCUACAUUCUAAAAAUAAUUACUUAUUCUACAUUCACCUUAAACUUCUUCUAGAAGGUUCUAUAGUAGAUUCCACCUAGAUAAUCACCUUAAAUUCUUUCUAAAAUAUUCCUUCGUAAAUCCUAUAUAGUCCACUAACCUAACUCCAAUUCUAAAAACUUCCAUAAUUUUUUUAACAUGGUUCUAACUAUUUAUCUCUAUGUAUCAAUAAUACAAAUAUCUUAUUCAUAUCUUGUGACACUCAAACUGAUGGAUAAACAAAUUGAAUGAAUCAAGUUCUGAAGCAGAAUUUAAGUUAUACCAUUAAUUAUCAUCAAAAUGAUUGGAUAACUCUUUUGCCAUUGAGAGAGUUUGCAUAUAAUAAUUUAGUUCACUCUUCUACUCAAUAAAUAUUUUUCUUUUUCAAUUACGGUUAUCAUCUAUAAUUUGAAACUUAUGACUUUUCAAAAGUUAAUAAUCUUAUAGAUGAUGAUUUUGCAAAUUGUUUGUCGGAGUUACAUGCAAUAAUGAAGGUGCAGUUAAAGGAAGUUCAAAAAUGACAAAAGUUUAAUGUGGAUGUCUAUUACAAAGAACAACCAUAAUUCAAUGUGAGUGAUAAGGUAUGAUUAUUCUAUCAUAAUAUCAAGACUACUUGCCCUUGUAAGAAGUUGCACUACUAUAGGCUUGAACCUUUUUCAAUUUGUGAAUAAGUCAAUCUUAUUGCUUAUUAAUUUCACCUAUUGGAGAUUAUGAAGAUCCACAAGGUAUUUUAAAUGUCUCUUCUUCAGUCAUAUAAGACAUUAAAUAUCUUCAAAAGAAGUCAAAUGCCACAUCCUUCUAUAAAAGUAAAUAAUAAUUAAAAAUUUGAAGUGGAAGAAGUCUUAGAUUCAAGGUAGUAUCAAAAUAAGUUAAAAUAUCUUAUUCAUUAGCACAUAUAUGAUAUAAGUGAAUGUACAUGGGAGCUAGUAAAGAAUCUUGCAAAUUCAAUAAAGAGAAUUGAGGCUUUUUAUUGAUGACGUCAAUCAAAAUCAAAAUAAAGCAUAGCAAAUCUUCACUAAAAAAGAAAUAAGAUCCAAAGAAGAUAGCAAUCUACCUUCUACAAUUAUUUGUAGCUUCUAUAUAUUUAUAACCAUAUAAAAAUAGAGAAUCAUUAAUCAACAUAUUCAACUCAAGAACUUUCAUUUAUUAACUUACUAAACAAGACAUUGUGAUUGUCACAAAUUCUAAGAUGAUAUAAUUAAGAUAAAGAUCCUUAAGAAUGAUAUGUCUUAUCUUGAAUCAAUGGCAAAAUAAAACAUAUUUGAUAUCAUGACCUUAGAAGAGACUCUCGAUGUAUGGUGAUUUAAUUAAAAGUAUGAACAAUUUCUUAACAAUAUUCAAAUAAUUUAUUUGAAAAAAGUUAUAAAGGCCUCAACAACAAUGACUAACAAGAUAAUCUUUUCACCUUAGUAUGGAAUAUUAUCGAUCGUUGAGAGGAAAUAUCAACCAUCUUCAAAGAAAAUAAAGAUUAGAAUAUGUGGCAAAUACAAUUUUCUACAUCUUAGAUUUCUUCAAAAUUAGACAUCUUCUCUUUUUUAAGUGCUAUCAAGGUAGAACUUGCUAAAAUGAAGUAUACAAUGGCACAAAUGCAAGAGCAAUUGAGGGAGUUAAUGCUUGCGAUGCAUCAACUCAAUUUAUCACUAUAAGAAGCAACAAGAUUGGCAAGAAGUGAAGAUAUAGAAAUGAUUGGAGUUGCUUCAACAUCUGCACCAAAUCAUGUCUCUUCUCUUAUGGUGGAACACCCUUUUAGUGUUAGAAAACCAAGAAUUGUCCUUCCUAAGAAUUUUGAUGGCACCAAAUCAAAGUUUAGAAGAUUUAUCAAUCAAGUACAACUUACGAUUGAACUUCAACUCCAAAGCUAUCCAACUCAAAGAUUGAUAGUUAGAUUCUUUAGUAUUCUUCUUUUUGGUUGAGCAUUAUCAUGGUUUUCAUCUUUUCUUGAACGAUGAGAUCCAAUAUUGAAUAAUCUAGAGGCUUUUUUGGUAGAGUUUUGAUCCAUGUAUGGAGAACAUGAUGCAAUUUGUAUUGCAACCAAUAAGAUCCAUACUUUGCUAUAAGAUAAUCGAUUAGUAACAUUGCAUGCUUUCCAAUUUUGACAACUUGCAACUGAUAUCAAGUGGGAUGAUGCUGCACUUAUUAGCCAAUUUUUCUACAAAUUACAAUAUGAGAUAAAAAAAUUAAUGCUCAACUUAUCUGAUCCUCAAACAUUGAGUCAAGCAAUUGACUUUGCUUUGAAAAGGCACAAUCGUCUUUUUGAAUUUCAAUGUGGGAAUUGUACAAGUGAACCUCAACGUUACUAUAAUUCAAUGGCAACACCAAUAUUUCUUCAAUACAUACAUUCAGAAGUACAGAAUAUGCAAAUUGAUGCGGUACGUUUCAAACUUCUUAGUGAGCAAGAAAAGACUCAUCAUUGUUAGGAAAGAUUGUGCUUAAAUUGUAGAGAACCUAAGCACACUGCUCAAUAUUGCCAAAAGAAGUGACACAACUAUAAAAUGAGGAGUACGACAAUCAAAGAAGAUAGCAUGUCAAAAAAAAAUAAUUGUCUAACUAUAAUAGGCCCCAUGUGGCUGGAACCUUGUACAACGCAUAGUGAAGGUCCUAUCCUCUCCUCAAAAUCCUCUCCAUGUUUUAAAAUAAAUAUUUUUCUACAACCUAAAUAUCACAAAGCCUCUGCCUUUCUAGAUUCACGAACCUCACUAUGUUUCUUAGAUGAAGAAUUUGCUAAAAGACAUAGCAUAUUUUUAGUGAAGAAAACUAAACCUGUUCAUGUAGAAGUCAUAGAUGAUCGUUUGUUGUCUUCAGAAGAUGUUACUCAUGAAAUCCUUUCUAUAGAAAUAACAACUAAUGGUCAUAGUAACUUUAUAAUAUUUAAUAUCAUUAGAUCUCUUUUUAAUCCAGUCAUUUUAGGUUUAUCAUGGCUACAAAAAUAUAAUCCUAAAAUAGAUUAGACUUCUCAGAGUCUUGAUUUUUCUGAAAGUAUAACUAAGAGUGUAGUUAAUUAAGUACAAAGUCAUAAGUCUAAUAUAUUUAAACCUAUAUUUGUAGGUACAAGUGCUUUCUUGCAUGUUGCAAAAGAAGUAUCACCUUGUAUCAUUUAUGCCACACUUGUUCUAUUAGUGGAAAGACUACAAGUGGCAUUCCAAGCCAAUAUUAAAAUUUUUAAGAUGUAUUUGAGAAGAAGAAUGUGGAUACUCUUCUAGAACAUUGUUCCUAUGAUUGCUCAAUUGACCUUCAAGAAGGAGCAAGACCACCAUUUGGACCAAUCUACAAUUUAUCUUAAAUGAGAUGGCUGAACUCAAGGAAUAUAUUUUAGAGAAUUUGGCCAAGAACUUCAUACACCAUUCCAAAUCUCCAGCAGAAGCUCCAAUUUUAUUUGUGAAGAAAAAAGAUGGAUCAUUGCGGAUGUGUAUCGAUUAUCGAGGACUCAAGAAAAUCACUAUUAAAAAUAGGUAUGCGAUAUCUUUGAUAUCUAUACUCUUUGAUCAGUUGAAUCAAGCUAAGAUCUAUAUAAAAAUAGAUCCACGAGGAGAAUACAAUCUGGUAUGGAUCAAAGAAGGAGAUGAAUGGAAGAUUGCAUUUCGAACAAAGUAUGGACAUUUCAAAUACAAUGUCAUGCCUUUUGGACUUACAAAUGCAUCAAUGGCAUUCUAACAUCUAAUGAAUGAUGUCUUUUGGGAGUUUUUAGAUGAUUUUGUUGUCUAUUACCUAGACGACAUUUUAAUCUAUUCUAAAAAUAUUGAAGAAUAUGAAUAUCAUGUUUGUCAUGUAUUACAAAAAUUAAGAGAUGCGGGAAUCUAUGCCAAGAUAGAAAAGUGUAUAUUUCACACUACUCAAGUCGACUUCUUACGAUACAUCAUUUCAAAUGAUGGACUUAUGAUGGAUCGUAAGAAAUUUCAAACUAUUAUGGAUUGGAAGAUCCCAAAAAUGGUAAGAGAUGUCCAAUGCUUUUUGGAAUUUUUCAACUACUAUUGGAUCUUCAUCAAAGACUUCUCUCAAGUUGUAACUCCACUUACACGUUUGACUUGCAAAGAUAAACUUCAAUAGAAUCAAGAAGCAAAAGUAGCAUUUGAAGCUUUGAAGAUAGCAUUUGUUUUUACACCAAUCUUAUAUCGUGUCAAUUUUUCUAAGCCAUUUUUUAUGGAAACAAACACAUCAGACUUUGCUUUGUAUGCCAUAUUUUUACAAAUGGGAAUAGAUGAUAAACUUCAUGCAAUAGCUUUUCAUUCCAAAAAAAUUUCAGCAAUUGAGAUCAACUACAAGAUCCACAACAAAGAACUUCUUGUAAUCAUGGAUUCAUUUCAAGAAUGGUGCCAUUAUCUAGAGGGUGCUUCUAGCUCAGUUGCAGUAUAUACGGAUCACAAGAACCUUGAAUAUUUUAUGUCAAUACUUAUUUUGAAUCGUUGUCAAGACCAUGGAAGUAUGUCUUUGUCUAGAUUCAAAUUCAAGAUCACUUAUCAACUAGUAAAACAACAAGGUUUGUCACAUGCACUCUCUAGAUGAUCUUACCUUUUACUAAAGAAAGAAGAUCCUACUUUUAAUCAAUAAUGGACAAUUUUCUUGAAGCAAAAGUAACUUCAUCUUCAAGCAAUAAAAACAAUACUAAUAAUUGAUUCAACUUUUAUUAAGCAAGUUCACUCAAGUAUGUCUUCUAAUCCUCUUAUUCUUGAUAUUAAGGGAAAUCCUUCAAAGUUUCAUGAUACUUCCAAGUUUGAAUUCAAAAAGAAUCUAAUAUAUUUAGGAAGAUGCCUAUAUGUUCAAGAAGGAGAAGCUCGACUACGUGUCAAGGACAAAGACUCGAUGAGGAAAAAUAUACACCAAAAGGCUAUCUCGAUAUAAUAAGUCAAAAUAUAAACAAGUAGGUAUAUUAAAAGGAAACUGGAAUGGCUAUUGCCACAAGACAAGAAACUAAAGACUCUUGAACCUGGACUAGAAUCAAGAAAGGAGUUGACAAGAGUGAAGAAGCCUUCACUCUUGUCUCUAUAUAUACUAUCUAACUAGGGGCUACGUGGCGACGUUCUAUAGGACCUCCAAUAUGUGUUGCCUUUGUAGGACACAUGCCUUGACUUACAAGGCAAGUUUUUCUACGUGUCGGCCACAUAGUUAGCUUGAUCUUCAAGCUAACAACAUGUGUGGCACAUGGCCAACUUUUUGAUCACGUUUCUAAUCCAAAAAGUCAAUUAAAGACACCUAUGAAGUCAAAGCAGCGUCUAGAAAGUUUCUAGAAAGCUUCUAUAUUAAAUAUUAUAGAAUUAAUUUACUUUUAUCUACUUUUACUUACUUCUACCUAUUUCUAUAUGUAAUUAUUAGCUUACAUGAUUAUGGCCGUGACAUUACCCCCCCUUCUAGAGACGAGUUCCAUGAGGAGCGGUCAUCAUAUGUUGAGAAAAUCUAUGAUGCGACGAAUUGUAUUCGCCACAUACUCUGAUCUCUGUUCUCUUCGAAGAUGAUUGAUAGGGCCUCUCAAUCAUCGGUAGUGUCCCAUACCAAGGCGGGAAGACCACCCAGUUAUUUGAUCAUUGUUGAGGCCUUCGUAACUUCCUUCGAAUAGAAUAUUCGGAACACCAUCAGGAGUUGUUCCUACCUCUAGCAAAAUCACCAAACAUCGGGAGUCCCUUCCCAAAUCGUGAUACCAAACGCGUUGUAUGUCACCAUCUGUUCGAGGAAGAACAUGUCGUUCUUGAAGAUCUUCAUCUCGAUUAUGUCAUCUUGAAGGUUGUGACAAUCGUAAUGUCUCGUCCGGCAGGUCAGCAAACAAAGGUUCUUGAGUUGAAUCCGCUGGUUGUUGGCUCUCCAUCUAAUUAGCGUCACAAAUACAAAGAAGUUACAAACAAGGAUAGGAAAUUGAAUGUUAUCUUGCCUCAAUCUUGUCUCUUUUAUAAGAGAGAUUUUCAUCUUGGUUUUGAUGGAUGUCAUUGAUGAAAAACUUUGACUUUAGCUGAUACAUUUGCUAGAUUCCUGGAUGGCUCCAAUGUGCGUUCACUAAUAUCAUAUCCAUGCCAAUGAACAAGAUAUUCCAGCUUAUUUCGGCGCCGCCUUGAGUCUAAUAUCUCUUCCACCUCAAAUUCUUCAUUAUUAUCUACUUCUAUAGGAGGCGGUGGCAUUUGUCUUCUUCCUUGUAUAUCCACUGUCUUAUAUGGUUCAAGAAGAGACACGUAGAAUACAGGAUGGAUCUUCAUAGACUCCGGUAGAUGUAACCGAUAUGCAACUGAGUUGAUCUGUUCAGAAACAAAAAAGGGGCCAAGCCUACGAUAGUCCAACUUGUCACAAGGUCGAGUAGUCUUGAUAUUGCGACGAAGUAGUCAUAUCUUAUCACCCACAUUGAGUUGACGUUGCUCCUUACGAUAUAGAUCUGCGUUUAUCUUUUGUCGUUCUUAAGCUUCCUUCAAUUGCGUCUUCAUUAUUGCAUGUAACUCUGACAACCGAUUUGCCAUAUCUUCUGCUGCAGGAUUAUCAACUUUUGAAAAAUCAAAAGUAUCAAGUCGUGGAUGAUAGCCAUAAUUGGCAAAGAAAGGUGUUUGUUGCGUGGAAGAAUGUACCGUAUUAUUAUAAGCAAACUCUGCCAAUGGCAGAAGGUUUGUCCAAUCAUCUUGUUGGUAGUUGAUAGUACACCUUAAACAUUGCUCCAAGACUUGGUUUACGCGCUCUGUUUGUCCAUCAGUUUGAGGAUGGAAAGCCGAAGAUAGUUUUAUGUCUACUUUUAAAAUCUUGAAAAGGAUCCUCCAAAAUCUUGACACAAAUUGAGUUCCCCUAUCUGAUAUGAUAUCUUUAGGUAAUCCAUGAUAGCGAUAGAUAUUAUCAAUGAAAAGCUUAGCUGUUUUUUCACCUGUGAUAGAUUUUGUACAUGGCACAAAAUGUGCCAUCUUGGUGAAACGAUCUACUAUCACAAAUAUAGAAUCAUAAGAUCUUGAGUUUGGAAGAUCUGUGAUGAAAUCCAUAGAAACAAAAGACCAUGGUUGUUCUGGUAUAGGUAAUGGCUGAAGAAGUCCGUAAGGUCGAUGAUGAGGAAUUUUUGAUCUUGAACAAAUAUCACAUGAUUGUACAAAGUCUUUGACUGACUUCCACAUUUGUGGCCACCAAAAAUCUCUUGAUAUGAGUUCCAAAGUCUUAUUAUAUCCAAAGUGCCGUGCUGCUGGAAAGUCAUGACGUGAUUAAAGAAUACGUAAACUUGCUUCUCCUUUUGGAACAUAUAGGCGUCCUUCAAAAUAUAAUAGAUUAUUCUUAAACUCGAACUUAGAAGGAUCAUGAGACUUGAAAGAAUUAUUCUUGAUAUCAUAAAUAAAAGGGUCUGAGGACAUACUGGACUGGAUUUGCUUGAGAAAAGUUGAAUCAACAAUCAAUGUUGAUUUCAUUGCUCGGAGAUGAAAUUGCUCCGGUUUCAAGAGGAUCGUUCUUUGUUGCUCAAAAGCUGCAUCUCGUUCUUUUGGUGCAAAAUAAGAACGUCUAGAUAGGGCAUCAAACAAACCUUGUUGUUUUCCUGGCCGAUAAGUGAUAAUGAACUCGAAUCUUGACAAAGACAUACUCCAACGAGCAUGACGACGAUUCAACAUGCUGUCGUAUUACGUGCUUUUCUGCUCGAGAACGCCCCGGAUGUCUGGCUGUAGAAGGUAGUAUGGAGAUUCACCGAUAGUCAAGUAGUCUAUCAGUUUUUGACUGCUGGAAUAUAAACGACUGCAACAAUGUACCGUAAAUCUAUACGGAUGCUCUUCGACUGCUUGUCGAAGUCUUUUUUUUUUUUUUUUUUUUUUCGAGCCGAUAGGUCUCUAAACGUUACAGAGAACCCCGUACAUUCCAAAUUCUUAAUCUUCAAUACCCCUUUGUACUUACGAUCUUGUAUCCACUGACUAUCCUGUUAGAUUAACCCAAUAAAUUUCAUUCACUCCGCAUACUCAAUCCUAUAGACACCCCUUUAAUCCUUCAAUCACAGACGUAACUUGAUUUUAUAAAACAGUCAAGAGUAUUCAACCCACUUCAUUUAAAAAUCCCGAUUCACCAUUACAACACUGACUUCAGCAACGAUUGCCUCAGUGUUCCCAAAACUCUAUGAAGAAGAAAAAUCCAAAUUCUAUGUCUUUUCUUCCCCGACCCGAAGCAUGAAGCUCCUCUCUCUAAUUCCCUAGAUCUUCAAAAAAUUCCAAUGAAACCGAACUGGUAACCUUGCAAAAGCUUUGAAAACUCGCUCCCCCCCGAUUCCCCUGAAAAAAAAACCCCCCCCUCAAAACUAUAUCCCCCCUAACCUUAUCCUCUGAAUUUCUUCAAUCUUCCGUCUUAGAUCCGGAAUUGGCUCCCACUUCAAGCUUGGAUCCGAAAUUGGCUCUCGCCGUCAAGCUUUCUCCUCCGUUUUUACCUUUAAGAAAUCCAUUUACCGAAAACAAUGUUCCCUGAAAUGGCACAGAGAACAGGACAGCCUAAAACAGAAUCGAAUCCCGAAAUCGGAACCACAUUGAGUCGCCCGACCAAUUCAGGUCCUAUAUUGGAAAAGAUGCCCCUAGAAACCGGGAUGUUCCCAUAAUUGAAUCAAAUUGGUCUUCGCAUCAGAUUGGCUAAGACCCGUAGUAAGACCUGGAUUUCUCGUAAUUAGACUGCAUUGGGUUGACCGGCCAAUUCAGGUCUCAUAUUGGAUAAGAGGAUAGAUUAGAUUAUCGAAAUUGGAUCCAAUUGGCUCCUCGAACCCGUCGUGUGAAUUGGUCCUUCUCUUCCUACUGACUCCCGUUAUUGAAAUCAAACGGGGCAUUUCAGUAUGCCCCGGCUGACUAUAACGGAGUCACUGAACCUGACCACUCAGUAUUUGUACUCGAGUUGGUCGAUGCUCCCAAUAUUCGAGGCAACUGAAUAUUAAUAAAAUUCCCCUUCCUUUUUAUUUUCACUGUAUACUCGUGUUACAACACGACAUCCACGCCCUCUAAACCUGUGCAUCCUCCGGUAUGCACCAAUUUACCCAAUUGUUGUUUGAUUCAGAAUAUAUCCCCUACGUCUUUAUCUUUUUCGUCUUCGUCACCUUCAUUAUCCAUAUCACUUUCAUCUUUUUCCUGUGGAAUCUCUGUACCUUCAUUAAGGUCUUCCAUAUUCAUCUCUGCGUGUCUUCGUUUAAAUAUUUUUACUCGCUUCCCUGCAAUUGGUAUUUUCAAUUUUAAACCAUCUAACUCCCGUAAUGAGUAAGUCGCAUUAUCAUGAACAGUUGUUACAACAUAUGGUCCAAACCAACGUUUUGAAAAUUUCCGCAAAGUUCUAUGUUGAUUAUCCAGACUAUUGUCAUAAACAAGUAUCCAGUCACCUUUCUCGAUUGCUUUUGGUCUCAAUCGAUGUUGCUUAUCAAAUCGCGCCUUGUUUUGUAACCUUGCUCUUUUUAACCUUUCCAAUGCUAUCUGGACAUCUUCCGUUCUUUGCUCCAAUUGUCGAAUCCUAAUAGCCAGAAGUUCUUCUUUUGUCAAUCCAUCUUCCCAUGGUAGCAUACUCCAAAUAAGUACCUUUUCUUCAAUCGGCAUAAUUGGUUUUUGACCUGUCAUAAGUUCUACUGGCAUAUAUCCUGUCACCGAACUAUGUGUUGUUCGAUCAGCCCAUAAUGCAAAUGACAAAAGCCGUGGCCACUCUUUAACCUUCCCAUUACAAGCUUUAACCAAUGCUUUCACAAUCGGCAGGUGACCAAGUUCGCUUUUUGCAUUCCCUUUCGGAUUAUAAGCAGUAGUCAGUGAUAGCUUAACUCCACAUUUUUCAAAGAACUUACGAGCUUCUUGUGCAUUUAAUUCUCCAUGAUCUGCAGUGAUUUUUUCUACGCACCCGUAACGGCAAAUGACAUCUUCAAGCAAAAACCUACAAAUUCCCUCUGUAGAUUUUGUCCUCAAUGCUCUUCCUUCUACUAGAUUUGAUAAAUCUUCACGAGCUAAAACCAAAUAUCUCAUCUGCCAUAACCCAACCGGCAUAAUAACCAAAUCAACAACCCAUUUAAAAUGAAUAGCUAGAGGAUAUGUAGGAUGAAGACCAUCUCGAUGUCGGAUAUUAGAAUACGAUUGACAGAUUUCACAUGACUCUACAAAUGAGAGCACAUCUCGAUACAUAUUUUUCCACCAAUAUCGUUCCUUGAGUUUAGCAAAAGUAGCCCAGAUUCCUCUAUGCCCUGCCCAUAAACUAUCAUGAAACUCUUUUAAUAAUUUUAGUUUUUCUUCCCUUUAGCCUAUCACUCGUUGUGGCAUCCCAAUUCCUUUCUUCGGUCUCUUCCAUAAGAAUCCAUCUCGAAGUAAAAAUCCAUAUGCUUCUUUUCUUAUUUGUUUGAAUUUUUCUGUAGACAAAUUCCCCUGUUUAGACAAGGUAUUCAAAUAAUGACCAAUAUCCAAUAAUUCUCCUUCAUAAGAUUCUUCAAGAAAUAGCUUGUCUUCUCUGUUGACAUUUGAGAUUGAAUAGAAUUUCAAUCCGACAUCAUCAAUGUCUUCAACCAUUUCGUCCUCCCUCUCGUAUCUUGCUCGAGAUAGCAUGUCUGCUACUAAAUUGUCCUUUCCAAUGAUAUGCUUAAAUUCUAGAUUUAGUGACUUAAUAUAAGCAAUCCAUCUCAACAUUGUAAUAUCUGGCGUUGAACAGUUAAUAAUCAUUCCAAGCAAUGGCAAGCAAUCUGUUUCAAUUACUACUACUGCCCCAAUCAAAUAGUCCUUUUCAGCUUUCAUAGCCGAAACGACCCCCCAAAGUUCUCUUUUGAAUUGCGAAUAUGCAUGUUGAUGAAUAGUUAAAAUUUUAGCCCCAAAUCAAACUGCAAAUCUACUCCCAUUCGAAUCAUCUUGACCCACAGCCCAUCCAACAGUAAUUGGACUAGCGUCUACAGUAUGAAUCACUCGUCUAUUGCACUUAUAAUCAACCUUCCUCAAUAUUGAAGGUGACAUCAAUAAUUUCUUCAAUCUUUACAUUGCUAGAAUUUGCCUAUCUUCUCAUUUAAAUCGGUAACCCUUGCGUAACAGUUCAUAUAAUAGAUCCGCUAUGUAAGCAAAAUGAAGGACCCAGAUUCGAUAAAAUAUACAUGCACCUAAAAACCUGCGAACCUCUGUUAAAGAAUCACAAUCCUCUUUCAUCCUUCCAAUUGCAUCAUUUAAGUCGGAUCUGGUUUUCUUCCGUAAGAUCCACAUAAAUGUCCAACAAUUACAACCUCUCGUACUCCAAAUAUGGACUUCAUACCCGAUAAUGUAAGAUGAACUUCUCCAAGCUGAGUUAAAAACUUUUCACAAUCUUGUAUAUGAUCAACAACAUAUUUGCGACAUCCCCUCGUAUCUAAAGUUUCAUCCUUGUCUCUUUCUCUGCAUCCUUUUAUAGGAACAUCAUCCAGAAAAGGCAUAGUCUUUUCCGGAAUAAAAUCCCUCAAUACCUUAUUCAUCCCAUUCAUCAUAUGCGCAACUGAAUUGAUCGCGCCUAGAGGAAGAGUGCACAUUCUAACCAAUCCAAGUGGUGUCCUCAUCGUUGUCAUAUCUCUACUUCCUUCGGCAAGUUGAAAUUGAUCAUAACCUGAAUACAAAUCACCGAUUGAAUAGAUCGCCCUUCCAGCAAACGCCUCAGCAAAUUCAUCCACAAUAGGUUUAAUUCCUGCAUUCCUGACAGUUAAAGCAUUCACUGGCUGCAUAUCUUGAAUAAACCGUUUUGACCCAUUCUUCUUAUGUACCGUAAACCAUCGACUAGAAUACGGCACAAAUGAAGUUUUUAAUAUUUUCAUCUUUAUCUUUUCUUUCAAUAGUUCCACCAAUUUAGGUAAAUGUGCCCUCGGUACUAGAAUCGGUCUUAGAUUCCAAGGUACAUGCGGUACAAUGUAGGUAACCAUAGGUGUUAUAAUAUUUGGAUCCACACACCCAAUUUCAUGAGAUUCGAAGGCAAACGAUCUACCUUGUUUAGCCAACAUCUUUUUGAAGCAAGUAAUUUCCUCCGGCAAUAAAGAACCAUCAGAACCAAUCUUCAAUUCUUCAAAAGUCUCUUCAGUAAAUUGAUGUCCAAUACUCAUUGGAUCUCUUAAACUUGCUUCUUUUGAUGCUUCUCCCAUUUGUUCUUUAGAAUCCUCUGGUAAUGGUCCAGGCUUUACCUUCUUAUCAGCCGUUUUAUAUCUCGUCUCUACUGUGACUUCUGGUGCUUGAAAAGAUUCAAGCAUGGUAUAAACCUCUCUUGAAUGAAUCUCAACAAUCUUAUCAUUAUCCCCUAAUCCAAUAGAUGUAAUCAAUUCCAAUGAAUCUUCCAGUCCAUUUUCAUCACAAACACCCAAAAUCUUCUCAUCGUCUUGCAAUAUACCUAUCUUGCGUAAUUGUCCUUUAAUAUCAUAUAAUCUUUUUCUUUCCUUUCUUUGAAAAUCAUCAACCUUCUUAUACAUAAUAUUUCCAUUCUCCAAUAUACCAAUAAAACUCGCAUCAAAGGCACCUUCAUCUCGCGAGAGUACCUCCUCUUUUGUACCUCCAUAAUCUCGCUUUACAAUGGUACCUCCCCAAAAUCCUUAAAUCCUUCAACAAUCUUUGGCAAUGGUUUCUCCCUCAACCUAUCUCGAUUCCGUUCAUGGUUAGGAGGUACUGUUAGAAAUUGUACAGCUUUCCUCCCAUCUUCGCUCCGUACCCUUGCAUAAGCAGAACCAUGGUCAAGUACCUUUGUUUCCAUCCGUGUUGCCGUGAUAUAAGGUUGUCCUAAAAUCAACGGAUAAGACGUUGUAUCUUGAACGAAGAAAUGUUGCUUCGUCGCAACAUCCCCAAUCCGAAUUUUGACAUCUGGACAAGCUCCAUAUAAUUCGCCUCGUGUGUUAUUAGCUGCUCGUAUUGCCCAUCCAUGUUCCAUAUCAAUUGGCCAUUUUUGCUUCUUAUAAAGAUCUUUAGACAUGAGAUUUAUUUCAGUACCAUGGUCCACCAAAGUAACUAUUGGUUCUUCUAUAUCUCCUACCUUCACCAAUACCUCAGUAGUUGUCCCCGCCCAAUGCUUUCGAGUAUAAUGGCUCAAAGUUUCCAUUUCCUUGUCACUAGAAUCUUCGAAACGUACUCGCUGAUUAUACCCAUUCUUUUCAUUUGUUGGUUGCUUGUAACCAAUAUCAACCUCUUCUUCAUCUCUACAUAUUCUUGCAUCAAUAGCAUGACUCAUUCAAGUUUCGUCCAUUAAUUACCUCUUUCGCUUAAUGCUGUCAAUGAUAACAUCAUGAAACUCCUUCUUUGCAAUUUCCAAGACUUCUUUCAAUGUGAAUUCCACCUUAGCGUUUAAUAUACGUUCUUCCAACACUCCUUUCAAAUUUGUUGCCGCUUCAAUGUCAGAAAGUAGUUUAUAAGCAAUUGAUUUGCUCUUAUCUUUUGUCUCCGUUGUUUUUUCUCCCAAUGAUGCUGAGGUAUCCUUUACAUGCAAUUCUUGUGAAGCUGCCUCUCGAGCCUUGUCUCCUCGAGUUUGCCUCUUAAAAGAAUUUCCUUCUCUAGUAUCAUCAAAAUUUCUUCAUCUUUUUUCUUCCAUCAAAGCUUCAUGUUGGCUCUUAGCAAUAUAUGCAUGAACUGAAAGAGACUCAACAAGAUCCUUCCAACCUGUUCUUCCUCAUAUUGUAGCUGCAGUUCUCAAUAACGCUUCUCGAGGUAAUUUCCCUUCUUGCAUUGUAGAAACGGCAGAAGUCCAAAACUCACUAGUUUCCGUACUUCCACCAAUUUCAUCAUCUACUCUAGCACCAUAACUUGCACUUUCUCAUACUACUGUUUCAUGCUCUUUUAAGUAAUCUUGAACCAAUGCUCUCAUUUCUCCCUUGCCAAAAUUGGUUUGAAGAAAAUCCUCAAUAUCUUUCAAUACUAUCUUCCCAUCUUUCCAGCAAAUAAUUCCCUGCCGUAUCAUAUUAUUAAAUUCAUUGCAAUCUUUUCUAGUGUGUGAAGCAUCAUCACACCAAAUGCAUCUUUGUACAUAUCCUUGUUUUGAAACAUUCUUCGAAUUGUUUAUAGAAGUAUUCUCUUCAAGUCUUGCCAAUUUGAUUUGAAGAUCUCGCAUUCCUCGUAUAAUUUCUUCCAUACGAAUAUCUGCUUUCUUAGACAAGGAUGUCGAAGGUUGAACUAUAGGCAUUGUCGGUGGUGUUGUACGUACUGGAGCUUUGGGUGCUUGUACUGUUUUUGGAAUAUUGCUCCUAUCCUUCCUCCUUUCUUUUUUUGUAAGCAACCCCACUGCAUCUUCAACGUUCUUCCACUUCAUUUUCAAUCCUUCAUCUUCUUCUUUGUCUUCAAGAAGGGGUUCUAAUUUCUCUUGCAAUUCUCCAUCAGCAGCUUGAAGAAAUAGAUCAACUUUGUUCGGCUCGAAUGUCAAUUUUUCUACCUUUGAUAAUUGAGAGUACUGCCUCUCAAAUUCCCUUAGUAGCUCUGUUGCUUGCAAAUUCUUAUUGGGCCGUUCAAUCCAUUUCAAAAACAGCUUCUUAGUAACGCGAUCAGCAUCUUCCAAGAAAUAUUCGUCUUUCAAUGCAUGUGAAAAAUCCUCCCAUGAAUUCCCACAACGAUCCGUAAUCGAUGUAAUGUGGUCUCUUAUCUCCGGUAUCGUGGCAAGUCCAAAUAGUGCAACCAUUUUCUUCUCAGAAAUCCGAUUUAAUUCCAUUUCACGAACAUAACAUCUUAAAUACUUUGAAAUAUUCCUUCCAUCAAAUUGAUCAAUUUUAUUGACCACUGCUUGCAAUGCUUUGGUUGCCAAAGCUUCCUUUCGAUCAUUGCUUAGCUAUUGCUGCAUUGACAAUGAGAAGGCUUGAAACAAACUAGCAAUAGACGGAUCCAUGUGCAUACCUUGUCCUUUAGAAGACUCUCCACCAGAAACUUCUCCCAAAAAUCCUUCAAAAUUUUUAUUUUCGUUUUCUAUAAAAAUAUAGAUAAAAUCAACCCAAAUCCAAUACCUUCCACCUCAAGCUUUCACGUCGGGUUCACCACUUAUGUUGUAUUACGUGCUUUCCUGCUCAAGAAAGCGUCCAGCGUCUGACUAUAGAAGGUAGUAUGGAGAUUCACUGAUAGUCAAGCAGUCUAUCAGUUUUUGACUGCUGGAAUAUAAAAGACUGCAACAAUGUACCGUAAAUCUAUACGGAUGCUCUUCGACUGCUUGUCGAAGUCUUUUUUUUUUUUUUCUUUUCCCAGCCGAUAGGUCUCUAGACAUUACAGAGAACCCGGAACAACCCAAACUGUUAAUCUUCAAUACCGCUUUAUACUUACGAUCUUGUAUCCACUGACUGUCUUGUUAGAUUAACCCAAUAAAUUUCAUUCACUCCGCAUACUCAAUCCUAUAGACAUCCUUUUAAUCCUUCAAUCACAGACGUAACUCGAUUUUACAAAACAGUCAAGAGUAUUCAACCCACUUCAUUUAAAAAUCCCGAUUCACCAUUACAACACUGACUUCAGCAGCGAUUGCCUCAGUCUUCUCAAAACUCUGCAAAGAAGAAAAAUCCAAAUUCUAUGUCUUUCCUUCCCCGACCCGAAGCAUGAAGCUCCUCUCUCUAAUUCCCUUGAUCUUCAAAAAAUUCCAAUGAAACCGAACUGGUAACCUUGCAAAAGCUUUGAAAACUCGCUCCCCCCUGAUUCCCCUGAAAAAAAAACCCCCCCCUCAAAACUAUAUCCCAUCUAACCUUAUCCUCUGAAUUUCUUCAAUCUUCCGUCUUAGAUCCGGAAUUGGCUCCCACCUCAAGCUUGGAUCCGAAAUUGGCUCUCGCCGUCAAGCUUUCUCCUCCGUUUUUACCUUUAAGAAAUCCAUUUACCGAAAACAACGUUCCCUAAAAUGGCACAGAGAACACGAUAGCCUGAAACAGAAUCGAAUCCCGUAAUCGGGACCACAUUGAGUCGCCCGACCAAUUCAGGUCCUAUAUUGGGAAAGAUGCUCAAUUGGAUCAAAUUGGUCCUCGCGUCAGAUUGGCUAAGACCCGUAGUAAGACCUGGAUUUCUCGUAAUUAGACUGCAUUGGAUUGACCGGCCAAUUCAGGUCUCAUAUUGGAUAAGAGGACCCGGAUUGGAUUAUUGAAAUUCGAUCCAAUUGGCUCCUCGAACCCGUCGUGAGAAUUGGUCGUUCUAUUUCUUCUGACUCCCAUUAUUGGAAUCGAAUGGAGCAUUUUAGUAUGCCCCGGCUGACUGUAAUGGAGUGACAGAACGUGACCACUCAGUAUUUGUAUUGGAGUUGGUCGAUGCUCCCAAUAUUCGAGGUAACGGAAUAUUAAUAAAAUUCUCCUUUCUUUUAAUUUUCAUUGUAUACUCGUAUUACAACACGACAACGCGUGCUGACAUGAGGUACUCGAGGUUCUUGUGAUUUGUAUACACAGUGACUCGACUAGAAGCUCCUUCUCAAUAAUGACGCCAUUCUUGAAAGAAAUCCACGUUCGCAAGAAGUUCUUUAUCGUGGAUCUCAUAAUUGAUCUCGGCUGCUGAGAAUUUUCUUGAAUGAAAAGCUAUCGGAUGAAGUUUGUCAUGUGUUCCCAUUUGUAAUAAAACUGCACCUAAAGCAAAAUCUGAUGCAUCUGUUUCCAUAAAAAAUGCCUUGGAAAAAUCAACACGAUAUAAGACUAGUGCAGAGACAAACGAUGUCUUCAAGGCUUCAAAUGCUGCUUCCGCUUCUUGAUUCCAUUGGAAUUUAUCUUUACUAGUCAAGUGUGUAAGUGGAGCUACAACUCGUGAAAAAUCUUUGAUGAAGAUCCGAUAGUAAUUGGCAAAUCCCAAGAAACAUUAGACAUCUCUUACAGUCCUUAGAAUCUUCCAAUCCAUGAUUAUUUGGACUUUCUUAGAAUCCAUCAUGAGACCAUCAUUUGAAAUGAUGUAUUCUAAAAAGUCAACUUGAGUAGUGUGAAAUACACACUUUUUCAUCUUGGCGUACAAUCCUGCAUCUCUAAGUUUUUGUAAUACUUGACGAACAUAUAUUUCAUGUUCUUCGAUGUUCUUGGAAUAGAUCAAGAUAUCGUCUAGAUAGCAGACGAUAAAAUUGUCUAAGAAUUCAUGAAAUACAUCAUUCAUGAGAUGUGGAAAAGCAGCUGGUGCAUUCGUGAGUCCAAAGGGCAUGACAUUAUAUUCGAAAUGUCCAUACCUAGUUCGAAACGUAGUCUUCCAUUCAUCUCCUUCUUUGAUCCGUACUUGAUUAUAUGCUCCUCUUAGAUCUAUUUUUGUAUAGAUCUUAGCUUGAUUCAACUGGUCAAGGAGUCCUGAUAUCAAAGGUAAUGGAUACCUGUUCUUGAUUGUGAUCUUGUUGAGUCCUCGAUAAUCAACACACAUUCGUAAAGAUCCAUCUUUUUUCUUUACGAAUAGAAUUGGAGCUCUUGCUGGAGAUUUUGAAUGGCGUAUGAAAUUCUUCGCUAAAUUCUCGUCAAUAUAUGUCUUGAGUUCAGCCAUCUCAUCUUGCGAUAAACUGUAAAUUGGUCCAAAUGGUGGCUGAGUUCCUUCCUUGAGGUCGAUUGAAAAAUCAUAUGGGCGAUGCUCAGGAAAAAUAUCUACAUUUUAUUUCUCAAAAAUGUCUUGAUACUCUUGAUAUUGACUUGGAAUGCCAAUUGAAGUCUUUACGUUUUCAGAAAUAGGUGCAACAUAAAUAGCAAAAGUUGAUCCUUCUUUUGCUGCGUGUAUAAAUGCUUUUGCACCUAUAAGUACGGGUUUUACUAUAUUAGACUUAUAAUUUUUUACUUGGUUGGUAGAACUAUUAAUAACGCUUUGGAAAAAGUCAAGUUUAAGCGAAUUCCAAUCUAUUCGAGGGUUAUAUUUUUCUAGCCAGGAUAAACCUAAAAUAACUGGAUUGGACGGGGAUUUAAUUAUGUUAAAAGCUAUGUAGCUAUCAUGACCGUCUAUUGUUACUUUUAUAGGAUGAGUUUCAUGAGUGACAUCUCCAGAAGACAAGGGACGACCAUCUAUGACUUCUAUAUAUACUGGUUUAGGUUUCUGCACAAAGGGUAUUUUACAACUUUUAACAAAUUGUUCAUCUAAAAAACAUGUUGAGGCUCCCGAAUCUAAUAAAGCAGAGGCUUUGUAAUUCUUAGGUCCUAAAUAUAAGUCUAUUAUAAAACAAGGAGAGGGUUCUGAGGAGAGGAUAGGACCUUCAUUAGGAAUUGUACAAGGUUCCAGCUGCACGGUCCCUAUUGUAGCUGGACGAAUCCGUUUUCCGACAUGUUGUCUUCUUUGACCGUCGUACCCCUCAUUUUAUAGUUGCGUCAUUUCUUUGGACAAUGUUGAGCAGUGUGCUUAGGUUCUCCGCAAUAUAAACAUAAUCCUUCUUGACGACGACAAAUCUUUUCUUGCUCAUUUAGGGAUUUAAAACGUACCGCGUCAAUUUGCAUGUCUUCUACUUCUGAAUGUACGUUUGGCAAAGAUGUUGAUGUUGCCAUUGAGUAAUAACGUUGAGGUUCCCGUCACUGAUUCUCGGAUCGAAAUUCGAAAAGUCGAUUAUCACAUUUUACCGCAAAAUCGAUUGCUUGACUCAAAGUUUGAGGAUCAGGUAAGUUGAGCAUCAAUUUCUUUACUUUGUAUUAUAAUCCAUAAAGAAAUUGAUUGAUGAGUGCAGCAUCAUCCCUCUUCAUGUCAAUUGCAAGUUGUCAAAAUUGUGAAGCAUAUACUGUUACUGAGCGAUUUCCUUGUCGCAGAAUUCGGAUCUUAUUUGUUGCAACACGAGUUGCAUCGUGUUCACCAUACAUAGAUCGAAACUCCGCCAAAAAAGCUUCCAAAUUGUCCAAUAUUGGAUUUGGUUGUUCAAGAAAAGACGAAAACCACGAUAAUGCAGAACCAGAAAGUAGAGUGCCAAUAAACCUGACUUGUGAUCCUGGAGUUGGAUAGCUUUGCGGUUGAAGUUCAAUUGCCAAUUGUACUUGAUUGAUGAACCCUCGAAACUUUGAUCUCGUACCAUCAAAUUUCUCAUGUAAGGCAAUUCUUGGUUCUCUAGUGCUUAUAGGGUGUUGUACAAUUGGAGAAGGAACGUGAUUUGUUGUAGAUGUUGAAGCAGCUCCGAUCAUCUCUAUAUCUCCACUUUCUGCUAUUCUUGUUCUUUCCUGUGUUGGUGAAUUGAGUUGAUGCAUCGCAAGCAUUAACUCCCUCAUUUGCUCUUGCAUUUGUACCAUUGCACUCUUCAUUUCAAUGAGCUCUGCUAUAAUGACACUAAGAAGAAAAAUUUGUUUGAUAUUGCUCAAGACAAAAGAAAAGAAAGACUUGAUAACAAAGAAGAUACUAAGAACAAUAUCAGUUUAGAAGUGGGUAAUCCGCAAACUUCUAAUAGGCUUAUGUCUUGUCAAGAGAAAGGGGUAAUCCACUCUUACUCAAGAAAAAAUAAAGCUCUGAUAUUGUAAGUGUACUCUUGUCAAUCUGUCAAGGACAAAGACUCGAUGAGGGAAAAUAUACACCAAAAGGCUAUCUCGAUAUAAUAAGUCAAAAUAUAAAUAAGUAGGUAUAUUAAAAGGAAACUGGAAUGGCUAUUGCCACAAGACAAGAAACUAAAGACUCUUGAACCUGGACUAGAAGCAAUAAAGGAGUUGACAAGAGUGAAGAAGCCUUCACUCUUGUCUCUAUAUAUACUAUCUAACUUGGGGCUACGUGGCGACGUUCUAUAGGACCUCCAAUAUGUGUUGACUUUGUAGGACACAUGCCUUGACUUACAAGGCAAGUUUUUCUACGUGUGGGCCACAUAGUUAGCUUGAUCUUCAAGCUAACAACGUGUGUGGCACAUGGCCAACUUGUUGACCACGUUUCUAAUCCAAAAAGUCAAUUAAAGACACCUAUGAAGUCAAAGCAGCGUCUAGGAAGUUUUUAGGAAGCUUCUAUAUUAAAUAUUAUACAAUUAACUUACUUUUAUCUACUUUUACUUACUUCUACCUAUUUCUAUAUGUAAUUAUUAGCUUACAUGAUUAUGGCCGUGACACUACGUGUUCUUCAAGCUCAUCAUGAUUUUUUAGUAGUAGGACAUUUUGAAUACAAUAAAACUUUAGAACUAAUAUCCAUGGACUUUUGGUGGCCUCAAAUGUGGAAAGCAAUCAACGAUUUUGUACAAUCUUGUCAUGUUUUUUUGAGAUCAAAAACUCCUUGUCAUUGACCUUUUGGACUUCUUUGGCCAUUACCCAUUCCAAAACAACCAUGGUCUUUUGUUUCUAUGGAUUUUAUCAUGGACCUUUUAAUCUCAAGUUCUUAUGACUCUAUAUUUGUGAUAGUAGAUCAUUUUAUCAAGAUGGCACAUUUUGUACCAGUUAAAAAAUCUAUCACAUGUGAAAAAAUAACUAAGAUCUUUCUUAAAAAUAUCUAUUGCUACCAUGGAUUAUCCAAGGAUAUAAUAUCAAAUAGGAGAACUCAAUUUGUAUCAAGAUUUUGGCGGACUCUUUUCAAGAUUUUAAAAGUAGAUAUAAAACUAUCUUCAGCAUUCCAUCCUCAAAUUGAUUUACAAACGAAGCAUAUUAAUAAAGUUUUAGAGCAAUAUUAAAGAUGUAUCAUUAACUACUAACAAGAUGAUUGAACAACUCUUUUGCCAAUGGUAGAGUUUAUUUACAACAAUACGGUAUAUUUUUCUAUAAAAAAAAUAUCUUUCUUUACAAAUUAUGAUUAUUAUCCACGACUUGAUACAUUUGACUUUUCAAAAGUUGAUAAUCCUAUUGCAAAAGAUUUGGUAAUUCAUUUGUCAGAGCUACAUACAACAAUGAAGGCAUAGUUAAAAAAAGCUCAUCAACAACAAAAGAUCAAUGCGGAUGUCUAUCAAAAGGAACAACUACCAUUCCACAUGAGUGAUAAGGUAUGGUUACUUUGUCGCAAUUUCAAGAUCACUUGUCCUUGUGAUAAGUAGGACUAUCGAAGGCUUAGACCAUUUUCUAUAUAUAGGUGUAGCAUAUAUAGCAAAAGAUGAUCCUUCUUUUCUACCAUGAAUGAAAGCUUUUGCACCUACUAAUAAAGAUUUGGAUGUAUUGGUCUUACGUAAUUUUACUUUACUAACUCAACCUUGGAUUAUACUAUCAAAAAAGUUAAGAUUACGAGAAAUCUAAUAUAUUUGAGGGUUAUAUUUUUCUAGCUAUGAUAAUCCUAAAAUAAUCAGAUUAGAGGGAGAUUUUAUUAUAUUAAAUACUACUACUCUAUUAUGAUUUUUAAUUGCUACAUCUAAAAGAAUAGUUUCAUGGAUAACAUUUCCAGAAGACAACAAAUGACCAUCUAUAACUUCUACAUGUACAGAUUUAUUUUUCUUCACUAAAAAUAUCUUUUGAUUUUUGGCAAAAUCUUCAUCUAUAAAACAUGUUGAGGCUCCUGAAUCUUACAAGGCAAAGACUUUGUGAUUAUUAGGUUCUAAAUAUACUUCUAUUAUAAAAUAAGGUAAGAGGUCUGAAGAGAGAAUAGACCUUUAACAAAUGUUGCACAUGAUUCUUACUGCAUGGUCCUUAUUAUAGCUGGAGAAAUUCAUUUUUUGACACAUUAUCUUCUUUGGUAAUUGUGCUCCUCAUUUUAUAAUUGUGUUGCUUCUUAAGACAAUGAUGAUUAAUGUGCUUAGCUUCUCCACAAUAUAAACAUAAUCUUUUUUGGCAACGUCGAGUCUUUUCUUGCCUCGUGAGAGGAUUAAAACAUAUCAUAACAAUUUGUAUUGAUUUUGGCUUUGACGAAUACAUUUCAAAAAACUUAGGAGUUUCUGCCAUUACUUGACUUGUUCCUCUCCUAUCAAAUCUUUGUUCUUGAUGCCUUUCAAAUAAAUAAUUAUCGCAUAUAAUGACUUGAGUAAUAAAUUAAUCCAAAGAUUCUACUUUUGGUACUGUUAAUAACAAAUCUUUGAUGCUAUCCUUCAAUCCAUAUCGAAAUUGGUUGAUAAAUGCUUUGUCGUUCCAGUCCACAUUACAAGUGAGGUUUUGGAAUUCGGUAGCAUAUAUAGUGGCUAAUCAUGAUCCUUGCCAUAAAAAUAAAAGCUUCUUCUCUGCUACUCGUUCUCGAUCACUUUCAUCGAAUGUGACCUUAAAUACUUCUAGGAAUGAACUCAAAUCAUAAAGGAGUAAUGAAUCUUUUUCCAUUAAAGGUGCAAAGCAAGAGAGAGCACUUCUUCAUAGUAGUGCGCCUAUGAAUCCAACUUGGAUAAAUCCAUCAAGAUAUUGGAAAGGAUGCAACCUUAGAUAGAGCAUGACUUAUUGCAAAAAUCCUCAAAAUUUUGAUCUUAUUCCAUCAAACUUCUCAGGCAUACUAAUCCUUGUCCUUGUCAUACUUGUAGAAGCAAAACUUCCUAGAUUUGGUUCUGACGAUGAUAUACUUGCUUCUUUCAACUACACAACUUCUUGCCGCAGACUCUAAACUUCUUCUAUAUGCAUAGGCAUAGUACUUCUAUGAUUCACAUUGGAAAUAUGUGAAAUUUCUACUCUUAGAAUGUUGACAAGCUCAUCAAGAUUUGCCAUAGUUGUAAAUCUAUUCUCACAUUUGUUGAAAGUAGCAUCCAUAAUCUUUCCUUCCAUAGACAAUUCAAACAAAUUCAAAAGUAAAAUUAGAGGAGGAUAAUCUGCAACUAUUAAAAACAAAUCUCACAAAGAAGGAUAAUCCACUCUUUUUAAAAAAAAAGAUCAGUGUUAGAAAAUAAUAUUUUUUGAUUGAAGGUAGAUAGUUCGCAAUCUUAAAAAUACUAUAAUAGAAGUGAGGUAAUCCACUCACUUCUAAAAUAAGAUAGAAAAAAUAUGUUGGUACUCAUGGCAAGGUAUCAAGGACAUGAAUCUUGAAAAAAGAGAAUCUUUAAUACAUUUUUCUAUCACUGAAGAGAACUAGAAAGUCACUCAAGAGAUGAUGUAAUAAUAACUAGAAUGGCUAUUGCCAAAAACAAGAAGACUAGAAAUCUUGAAACAAGACUAAGAUUAGAAAGGCGUUGACAAGAGUGAAGAAGGCUUCAUUCUUGCAUCCAUAUAUACUAUCAAACUAAGAGCUACGUGGCGAUAUCUUACAUGACCUUUAACAUGUGUUGACUUUACUAGCCACAUGACUUAUCUUGCAAGGAAAGUUAUCUAUGUAUGCGCCACAUAGUUCGCUUAAUCCACAAGCAACUACAAGGAGAAAACUUGUUCUACAAGCUACCAAUACAUAGUUAGCUUUUUGGUCAAGUUUCUAACCUACAAACACAUCUAAAAUCAAAAUCGCAUCUAUGAAGCUUCUAGGAAGCUUUUCUAUAAGACUUUAUGAAAUUAUUCUAUAUUUAUCUACUUCUAUUUAAUCAUAUAAGUAAUUAUUGAGAUUAAUGUAUAUGUCCAUGACAAAAAGACAAAUAAACUAUCUUCAAAGAAAAUAAAGAUUAGAAUAUGUUGCAAAUAUAAUUUUUCACAUCUUAGAUUUCUUCAACAUAUGAAGAUUGCUCCUCAUAGAACUUGUCUAUUGAAGAAAGAGUAAUAUCAUGGACAUACAUAUUUAUUCUAAUAUUUAUUUAUUUGAUUAAAUUGAAGUAAAUAAAAAUAAAUUUAUUUCAUGAUACCUUCUAUACAAGCUUCAUAAAAGCUUCAUAAACAUUGCUUUGACUUUACAUGUAUUUGUAGUUGAUUCCUAGGUUAGAAAUUUGGUCAACAAAUUAACCAUGUAUUCGUAGCUUGUAGAACAAGUUAACUAUGUGGUACACAUAUAGAAAACUUGCCUUGCGAGUUAAGAUAUGUGUCUUGCAAAGUCAACACAUUUUAGUGGUCUUAUAGGACAUUGCCACAUAGUUCUAAGUUAAAAAUACAUAUGGAGGCAAGAAUGAAGUCUUCUUCACUCUUAUCAACGCCUAUCUUAUCUUUAGUCUUGUUUCAAGACUUUCUAGUCUUCUUAUCUUUGGCAAUAGCCAUUAUAGUUUAAUAUCAUAUCAUCUUUAAAUGAAUUUCUAGUUCUUUUGAGUGACACAAGAGUAUAUUAAGGAUUUCUUCCUUGAAGAUUCAUGUCCUUGAUAUACACUCUAUUAAAACAAAUUUUUAAAAAACAUCUUUUAUAAGCCAAUUUAUCAAGAAUGUCAAAAUCAGGUACAAUGUUAGUUAUGAUAAUGCUAUAAUAUAUAUAAGCAUUGUUUAUUACAAUUUGUGGAAUUCAAUUUGAACAACAAAUUAUAAGAUGCUCAGAUUCAAAAAAUUGAACAAGGAAACAAAUAUUAAACAACUAUAUACAAGAUUGUACAUCUUUAAAUGUGAACUCACCAUAUAUUGGACAAAAAUAAACCUAAUUAUGAGAGAGCUAGUUGAUCAAAUGUUUAAAAUAAUAUAAAAUGUUAAUGCAAAAAGGAAAGAAUGACAACUCACAUGUUAAAAGGAACUAGAGAUGGCAUCGUUAAGGUUAACAGUCUGAACUCCUGCUAGAAAUCUGAACUGAGCAUGAUGCCAGCUUGUGGCCAAAAACAAGUAUGGACGUUAUUAUGCAUGUAUAAAAGGAAAGUGAGAAUUUGCAAAAAGUGAAAUAGGAUAAAAAGAGAACAGACUUAGGAAGUCGUUGAAAGAUAAGUGAAGGCGAGGAUAUUGUAAAGCCCUUCCAAGGGGAAGACAGGAUCGUGAGGAGAAUAUUUUGAAGAUUUUCCAGAACCACGUGUCGACAUCUUCGAACUGCGCUGCGUCUUAUGCGCACUAAUAUGAAUGUGUGAACACGUCCAGGAUCUGCAGCGAAAAAGAACAAAUUCGAAAAGCUGGAACACUGGGUCAAAAGCACGACCGAACCCUGCCACAUUUCCACUCCUCGAUGUUUUACCUUGCAUUGUUUCAUCCAGCCAUGUUUACCAAAACUUCAACUUUCCAUUUGCGAUUGCGUGCUGGUUUUAACUCAUAAUUCAGUGAUCUCAACUGCAUACAGAGCGAGCAUCCUCGACAUACUAUUUUAAGCGUUCAAGUGUGCCCCAUGAAGCCGGUCUGCGCGUGCAAUCGCUACGUGAUGCAUCGCAUGGUUGCUGGUGUCAGCAGCAUUCACCUCGGUGACAAUGUCAAUCAGACACACAUCCCAGCCGACUCGUUCUGUCCUACAUCCAGAACAUGCAAACCAUGAACUCCGCGACUAAUUCCUCAGUUCUUGAUUUGGGUCAGAGAAUAUUGCAACAAGAAGCUUGUGUUUUGGAGACAGACACUAAGAUUGUGCGGUUACGAGGUCUAGAUCUCGCUAACUGUGUGCAGUACUUUGAGGCUGGUCGCUGGUCAACGAUUAAAGGGCAAUGUUAAGUUUGAAUAGAUGUGGAAGGAAAAUAGACGAUCCUUAAGUUUGGAUUAUGUUUAUUGUGAGGAAAAUUACGUGCGAAGUUUUGUAUGUAGAACUGACAAUUGUUUGUUCACAGUGCUUAAACUAAUUGUGCACGUGCUUGACUGUUCAAAGAUUCCUUCUGUAAAAGGCAAUCUGAUCACUGGGUUCACAGUAUUUGUUCACCCAUCGUUAGCACUACAUCUAGUUUAGCCGUCAACCCUGCAUCUGAAGCAUUUAAGUUUUAUUUGGCUUUGUUCAAUAAACAUAUAUCCAACUCCAACCUUACUCCUUUAAUGGACUCUUCUUCACACAUUAAUAUUGUUUAUUGCUAAUGCCACAUUUAUAACAUGUGCUUCACAUCGAAACCAUGUUUCUCCAACGCUCAAAAAAAGUAUUAACAAAGUUCAGAUGUGCACUUUUCACAAAUAAUCGAGGAGAAUAAUAAAUCUACCCACAAUGUGACUUACCCUACAAUGUAAUUGGUAAUUCCACAAGAACAAUGCCCCACCAGCAACAGGCCAUCCCAAGUCAUUUUCUUGAAUUAACAGAUAGAUCAUUGAGGCUGGAAAACCCUCCAUUGCAAUGGAAUUGGGGCCAGCCAUGAGGAGCCCAGCGGCAACAAUUGCCAAACAACAGUGUAACUUGAUUUGAAGCAUCAACAGGUUGUAAAUCUUUGCUGUUUGAAAUAUCAAAAUCCUCGUCAUUAAUCUCCACUAAUGUUAAGCCUCACAUGCCCUAGAAAUGCUAAAUCUAACACUUAUUUUAGUAAAAGUAACAAUUGUAUUAUGGUAUAAGGCAUGUGGUGGUUUGAUUUGAAAUUUAAGUUGAUCAAUUUAAUAUCCUGAUUAAUGCUAAGACUGUGAUCAUCCUAAAUUUAGCAUAGACGUCAAACUAUUUUUGGGGGUGCAAAAAUGUGUCAGUACGGAUCAUCGCUUCGGUGGAACAUCAUGCCUCAUCAGACCAUCCAUUCAUUGCUUCUGUGAAUACCAGAGGAAGUUUCUUCUGGUUCAGCAAGUGGCAUGAGUUCAGAAGUUACUGUUGACGCUUAUCGGGAUACUGACACAUUAUCCACACGCACCAAGCGAGGCCAGUAUGUGGUUGCAUGGUACUGAAAAUGGAACGCAGCUUUUAUCCCGAACUAGAAGACUGAUAAUGCGGACGGCAGAAUGCUCGCCGAGACCACGUCCGGGAUGAUAACUUAAAUGUCAUACACGAGGUGUUCAUGCACUGGAGCUUGCACAGUAUUAAGGUAUUGACCGUUGAUACGGAGCUGUUCGAUACGUCCCCUAAGGCGACGUCUGUCAUUCAAGCAGCAGCCAAGUUACACUUUGCGGAAUUAGUAUCCAAACCAUUCACGAUGACGAUCUGUGUUCUCCAGGCUCUCUACGCAGACUCCAC